This 45539-nucleotide long non-coding RNA is filed under the name Jatropha curcas. RNAcentral's name for it is "long non-coding RNA (JCUR_LNC002077)". The record is from RNAcentral. Lineage: Eukaryota; Viridiplantae; Streptophyta; Magnoliopsida; Malpighiales; Euphorbiaceae.
UGUCAAUACCUUUUCUACCACAUCUUCAAAGGUAUCAUUUCCAGAAUACUUUGUGGUGCACAUUUAAUACUGAAAUUGAUCUUUAGCUAAAAUGGUAUAACAAUCAUGACAAUGUUUUAGGUCUUUCUGAUAAAUGCAGCUGAUCCUUUGUCCGGUAUGACAUUAGUGUGGGAGUGUGAAGGUCAGGCCCACUGUAUAAUUGAACAUCAUCAGGGGUAUCUUUAUUUAUUUACUGAUGCUGCAAAGGAGGGCCAGUUGGUUGAUCAUCACUAUCUUCUGUGUAGUCCUGUCAGCAGUUCUUCCAGUUCAAGAAUAUGGGAGGUAGGUAUCCAACCCAAAUCUCUCUACAUGCAUGUGCAAUUAUACCUUUCUGUGGUUCUCUUCCAACGAACCUCUUUCAGUUCAUUAUAUUUUGGCACUAUCUGUCUGCUGCAUUCUCCUCUCUACCUUCCAUUUCCACUAAUUUCUAGAUGCAACAUUAUUUCUUUUGCAACUUUCUUUAGUUAGUAAUGGGCACAUGGUUAAUCAGCCCUUAUAUCUUCAUGAAUCCACUAUCAUUUAUUGCAGAGUGUAUUCAAUGAUGACCAAGAUUUGAUUGUUGAGGAUGUUGAUUUCUGUGAUACACACUUGGUACUAAUCAUGAGGGAAGGUUGGAACUUUAGGCUUUGUUCAGUUCCUCUGCCUUUGCCUGCUGGGAAGGUGAGAAAACAAACAUCAUCAUCUCGGCAAAUCCAUGAAGUUAACUAAUGGUGGCCAACAGUUUCAUUUGAGUAUGUUCAUAUCAUACUCUUGUGUUUUUCUCAUCUGCGCUUCUCUUGUUGUUGCAGAAAGGUUUUAAUCUGGAACAGCUUAGUCCCAGAUUCCUUCCUCUUCCAAGAUAUGUUUCUCAAAUUUCACCAGGACCAAAUUAUGACUACCAUUCAUCAAUGAUGCGCUUUACAAUAUCAUCACCUGUGGUACAAGUCAUUUUGGCCCUAACUUCAGUAAAUGUUUUCUUUUAGCAACUUAUAUAAUUCUAGUUUGCUGUAUUGCUCAAGAAUUUUUACAUGGAUCCUGCUCUAGAUAAUAGUUGCAAGAUAUGAAUGGAAAUGGGUUAAGUGAGUUACUUUUUCCUGUAUUACAAAACACUCUACCUUUUCCUUUUCAGGUUGUAUUUUUAGACCUCGGUCUGCUAGGAUAUUAUUGUCAAAUAAAUAGAUUUUAUUUUUGUUCUAUUGUUGCCCUCAGCUGAUCAACUCAAUUCAUGUGGUUCAGAGGCUAAGGUUUAGAGUCCAAAGUUCUUUUUGUAUAUUGUGUGUCUUGGCUCUUCACUGCAAGCAUUAGGGCCAGUUCUUUUGUCAUGUGACCAGAUAUUCAAUUACAUAAGGAAAAACAUUUAGUAAUUUUUCUCACUUAUUUGACUUAUCAUGUGUUUGUCUAUGUGUGUAUGUGUAUUAUUGCAUGGGUGCUUUUUCCUCUAUAUUUUUGGUAAAAGUGUGCUUUUCUGGUUGAAUCGUGACCCCCAAAUUUCAUACAGAUGCCAGAUGCUGUUGUUGAUUAUGACCUAUCAAAUGGGAAAUGGAACAUCAUUCAACAACAAAAUAUGCUUUACGAAAGAACAAGAAUUCUGUAUGGUGCAGCCUCUUCUGUGAACAUCACAGAUAGCCCCUUGAAGGGUCAAAACUAUGGCUCUUCCAAUGAAGUGAAAUCUCAAGAUGAUAACUUGUGGCAUGACCUCUCUGAGUUUUAUGCAUGUGAACAUCAUAACGUUUCUUCAUAUGAUGGGGUUUUGGUUCCUCUAACUGUUGUAUACUCACACAAAAAUAAAUAUGGAAAUCAAAAUCCUGGGUUACUUCACGGGCAUGGAGCUUAUGGUGAGUUACUCGAUAAACGAUGGCGUGGUGAGUUGAAAAGCCUUCUUGAUCGUGGUUGGGUUAUUGCAUAUGCCGAUGUCAGGUUUGUUUCAACUAUACCACUACCAUCUGACUUUGUUUUUUUUUUUUUUGGCCACAGCUUGCUGUGUGUAUGCAGUUGUUUGAUUCAUCUUAUAAAAUGAUUUCUUUUGCUCACUCUAUUUAAAAAUUUGAAUUUCUAUAGGGUAUUUGUGUGUUUACAACUUAACAAAACUGAAUUUAUUUGUAUUUUUGCAGAGGAGGAGGUGGUCAGGGUAAGAAGUGGCAUCAUGAUGGCAGACGCAGGAAUAAACUUAAUUCCAUCAAAGAUUAUAUAUCCUGUGCCAAAUUCCUAACUGAAAAUAAAAUUGUGGAAGAAAAAAAGCUUGCUGGAUGGGGAUAUAGUGCUGGAGGACUUUUGGUUGCUGCAGCCAUCAAUUGUUGCCCGGAUUCAUUUCGUGCUGCAGUUUUGAAGGUAUAUAUUAAUCUCAUAAUCUCAUAAUCUGUAUGUCUUUUUUGGUGUUUCUCAUUUUUCUUUUUAAUACCCUGAUCAUGUAAGUGUUCACUGCUUUUACUUGUCUUAGUUUCUCAAAAUUUUAAAUGAAGCAAACAGUAAGAUGGAGGUUGUCAUUUUUUUAAUAAUUAAAAUAAAAUAUAUAUUCUCGAUAUACUCAUUUCUAUGUCUGUCCAUAUUCUUUAUCUUUUCCAGGUCCCUUUUCUAGAUCCAACCAACACUCUUCUCUAUCCCAUUUUACCGCUUACAGCAGCUGAUUUCGGAGAGUUUGGAUACCCUGGGGAUAUUGAUGAUUUUCAUGCGAUACUGGAAUAUUCUCCCUAUGACAAUAUUCAGAAGGAUGCUGUUUAUCCUGCUAUAUUGAUAACCUCAUCUUUUAACACACGGUAAUUUGCUAGCACACUUUACUGGCUAUGCCUAUAAUUUGUACAAACACAGCUGAUCAUGAGUGAAUGCAAACUAGUUGGAUGGUGUUAAAUUAAAUCACAAACGACUUUUAGUAGACAUUUUCUAAAACCUAAGGAUAAUGGAAAUGCAUGGGUCAACAUAUUAGAGAGUAUUUGUAAUUUUGAAUAGUGGUUAUGAAGUGUCAAAUUGGUAGAACCUGAAAUUGAGGCAGCGAGUCUAUAUUGUAUAUUGGAAACUUAUUAACUGUUCUUUUGUGUUCUUUUAUUCUAUUAUUUAACUUGACAUGCUUUUUGCUUGAUGAUGAUGAUGAUAGCAUUUUUUUUUUUUUGGACGAGUCAUAUGCUUAUGAAUUUUGUGUUUGAUGUAUUUCAGAUUUGGGGUUUGGGAAGCCGCAAAAUGGGUUGCCCGAGUUCGUGAACACACUAUUUAUGAAACCAACCGUCCAGUACUCCUUAAUUUAACAACAGAAAUUGUGGAGGAAAACAGAUAUUUGCAUUGCAAGGAGUCAGCAAUGGAAACUGCAUUUCUUAUCAAGAUGAUCGAAUCAUGAGUUUGAUUUUAUUACAUUGCGCUCCAUAAUCCGUCCUUGAAUCUGUUUUUUGAUCUUUUAUGACAAGUAGCAGAAAAGGCUGUCUUCAAGAUCUGAUGCACCUUGGUUGCCAAGCAGGUUUUUCCCACUUAAAACAUUACUUGGUGGUUAUAGCAUUUCAUGAAUUAUGAAAUCUGCUUGAUGAGGACAUAUCGCUGAUCUGUCCCAUUUAGCUGGUUCAACUUGCCAAAGCAGCCAAUAGAAUUAGGACAGAAAAACUUUACACUGUUCACCAAAUGUUGGUUAUUUGUUGCUUUGCCAUAUUGAUAUUGCAAGUUAAUUAUUGUAUAUACAUAUGUCUAUCUGAUAUGCUCAUUAUAAAAUUUUGAAAUGGAAGAAAACCUUUUGAUAAUAGCUUUUAAAAUUUGGGAAGCUUCAUAAUGCAUUUUUGCUCUUCUUUUGUUUUUGUGAGUACCAUUUCCUUAAUCUUGUGGAUUAGGACAUGCCAAAUCUUAGAAAUCUAAUAGUUAAUUAUCCAAUUAGGCUUCAAAAUCUCUCAUCGGUUGAAAUAAGUCAAACGUGUCCCUAUCACCAACCACCACAUAAAGUUCCUUUUAGAAGACAAUUUCCCCAUAAUGGCUCUCAAAGAAGUUUGUCAAACAUGAAACCAUUAUUAUUUCUCUUUUGUUAUCUUUUUAUAUAGUACUGUAAGAUUUUCCCAUCUGAAAUGGUGGAGUAUUUUUGUAGUGAGGGGUAGGGGAUCUCUUGUUUUGUAUCCUUUCAAGGAAAAGCAGGUUUUGAUCAUCAUUAUUUGGCUUUAAAAAGAAAUUUGCGUUGCCAUGUCCAACCCAACUUUAUGAAAAGGAAGCACUCAAGCUCUCAUGGAUUAUGGUAUAGAUACAUAUACAUCCAUGAAUAUUUUUCAUGGGAAACAAAACUCAAUGGGUAUGGCCCAAUUAUAGUAAUUGCUCUGAGAAAAGAUACCCUCAAUGCCUUUGGAUUAAGCCUAAUAUUGAUGAUGAGAAUUUGCAUUAUACUAAAGGAAUAUAUCUAUUUUCUGUUUACAUCAAAUCACUGUUCAUUGCGCAUGAUUUCUCUCCCUUACGCUUUGCUUUUCAUAUUUUAGAGGGAAAGUAGCUUAUACUUUUCUUGAAUUGAGAUUUGUCACAAACAGAAAAUUGGGUGUCUUCAUGGCAAGAAAAUGACACCAAUUUUGGUUGAGGAUUUCAAAUUUGCUUCUUGGCCUAAGAUAUCAAGUUGUACGAAAGAAUUAGAGAACAUUUUUUAACCAGAUUUGUGCAGUAUUAAAUCCAAAUUCAUCCAAAACAGAAAAGAGUUCCAAGUCCCUCCAAUCUAUCCAAACAUGUCCAUGUUCUGCUUUUUGUUUCCUUGUAGUUGGAGACAACCCCAUCAAAGUGAAAAGGAAAUUCUUGUACGACUAGUUGGGUUUUGUUCUAACAAGAUAAUAAUUUUUCCUCGAUUAUCCACUGAAAUUUAAAACAUAAGAGUCAAAUACUUCAGCCAUGCAAUUUCCAAUAUAAGCAAAAGCAGUGUUUCUGCCACUGAAUUGUAUUUAUAUAGACUACAACAGGCAAAAUAAGGUCAAGAUUUUUUACAGGAGCAAGAAAUUUUGAUUUUGUAUAGGCCAAAAGCAGAACGUUUUGAGUGGUGAAGUCCCAUCCAUAUAAGUCUGCUUCGAGGUCAACAUAAAUUUCCGAGAUGAUACAAAUUCUAAUGCCACCCUCUACAAUAACCCAAAGGAGAAGGGAAAAAAGGAUAAGGAAAAAAAUCAAGCAAACAAGAAUUAACAAAUUCACCCGUUGAAUCAAAGAGUCUCGAGGAAGAGCAAAAGGACCUGUGGCCAUAUCACCUUUGAGUGCUUCUCUGUAGCUUUUGAUCUUCAGCUCUGACUCUCAGAUUCGUACCCCAAUUGAUUUUCCAUGUUCACAAAAAUCCAUUUGUUUCUUCUUGGAAAUGUACUAUUGAUCGCCAUCCCAAAACUCAUGUAUCUGACCCCUCUUCAACUGUUGGAAGACUACCCUCUUUGAUAAAGGUUGGAUUGAGAAACUUGGAAACAAAAGCCCAUAAUUUGUAAACAUCUUCGAAGUUGGUAAGAAAUCCCAGAGAUGCAGUGACUACUUCCACCCUUAUGAACCCACUUUUCCCACUAUGGUGCCCAUUUUCCAUUGGCCUACAUAGAGUAGUAUCUUCAAGAUUCAUAGCACCACGCUGCUGUUUUGGGCUAUCCAGUAUUCGUAUGUGACUAAGAAAACCAAUGCCAAGGGAGAUACCUUCUCUUUCUGCCAGCUUCUGAACAACUUCAGGAUUUAUCAGUCCCCGGUUUCUAUCUCUAAUGUUAAAAGCUACAGCUGCACCCCUUUCAUAUUUUAUUUUUGGACCGUAAAUGUGAACAAGAUUUUCCGUUCUUUCCCCAUCUGAAAUGGGUAACCUUAGUUGAAGUAAUGAGGUCACAAGCCAAUUGAUCAAAAAUCGCAAUCUGAGAGUGGUUUUAUUGAGACCCAACAUAUUCACAUGAUCCAAGUGCCGACAAAUUAUCUCAGGUUCCCUCCUAUCCCACUCUUGCCCAUCACCAUAUUCGCCAUCACUGGUGUACUCUUCAUCAUCUAGGCUGGUUACAGAUACCUCUCCAGGCUCCAGAGUAUGACUUAGCUGUUCUUUACGGUUGUCCUCCAUGCUAAAGGACACUCUUCUUCCCCUGCUUGGAUGUUCAUUCUCUUCCAACCCAAAAAACCGACCACCUGCAUAUCUAUUCCCUUCCCUUCUUCCCAACAAUCUGAAUUCACCUUCUGUUUCUCUUCUUAUAGCACUCUCUUUCAUGUCUGAGCCAAUUGCAGAGGUUGAGCCAUUUGCUAGGCCAUUAUGCACAGCAGAUGAAUUAUUGAAUUGGGAUUUAUAUGUGUCAAAAUUGGACAAAGAACCGGCUGAAAGUGCAUUACUGGUUCCAGGUUCUUCCUCAAUCUCAUUAACAUGAAGACGAUUUGAAACCUUUUUACUAUUUCGUGGAGUGUGGUUUGUUUCAGUGUACUGUUCUUCUUCUGGAACCUCCUUAACUCGAUCCAAUUCCUGUGAAACAGACAUAACUGCAGCAUCAAAAGAGAGCACAUGGUGGUCAUCAUGUACCCCCUUGUCGUCAUAUAGUGGGCUGCCAUAUAUCUUUGACGUUGGUUUUGGAGAGAGUCGUUUGUGAUUCCUCUUGCCAGAAAACCAAAAAGGAGGCAGGGGAGAGGACAAUUUCUGUUUGUUUAACUGACCUGCUGCAUCUGAUCCCAAUGGACUUUGACCCAAAUCAAUCCAGAAUGAGUUGUCUGAUGAUUCAUCUUCACUAAAUACCGGGCUUUUCAUCACUUCCCCAACUGAAAUACUCUCUGUUUCUUCAAAUAUGGUGCUUGUCCCAUCCCUAUCAGAACUGUUAUCCUGUUCCAUCUCAGUCUCAAAAACAUCCCUCACCUGAGCAGAUGUGAAUGCACCAGAAAAGGCAGGCAACUGUGUCCCUGGACGAGUUUCUGUGGUUGUUUCAGCAUUCCCAACAACUUCAUCAUCUUCAAUGCAAACCAAUCUGUCUAGACCAUCAACAGAAUCACUCAAAUACAAAGGAUAUUCAGGUGUUAUCUUUACCAUUCCAGACCCUGUACUCCCAGACUGAUUUUGAAGGCUUCCCAUUACAGAUUUCUUGAUAAGAAGACAUCCAAAACCGGUUGGGUCGUGCCCAAAUACUCUGUAAAAGGAAGUAAUAAUAAAAUCAGGCCGAAACAAGGACAGCCCAAGUGAAUCCAUAUCUUUGGGACCCAAUGAGCCAGCAUCAAGCAAGACAUGCCAAUUGUUUUGCUGAGCAAGUGCCAUCCAUUGAUAUGAAUACUUUGCCCCAGUAACUCUAGACUGCACUGGAAACACGAACAAGCCCGCUGCAGAAUCCUUCUUCCGCCUCUUCUUACUUGAAAUUUGUUUUCUCAAAUCAGUAGAACAUAAUUUAAGAGUUGGCCAUUUAAACCAUGCACUAUAAACUUUUGCACCCUUUUCUUUGGCACUUUGAACCAUCCAACUCACAGACUGGCUCUCAUAAUCAAACAUUGUCAACAACUUCUUAUUAGUAUGAAAAGGGUAUGAUUCUGCCAGCAAUUUAAAUGCAGACCCUCUACUCACAGUGAAAACAAGGCCAUAUUCAUGCUCAGGGAUAUUCAAAUAAUCCAUAAUUCUGGCCUUUAUGUCAUAUUCCACAGUGCCUUUCUCAGCACCACCAUAAAGAGCAUGGUUACUCAAAUUUGCAGUUAUUUCAGAUAAGCUAAACGUAGAAGACUCCCAAUAAUGCAAAGUCUGAAGGUAUGAAAAAAGCCCAUAUCCACAAUAAUCAAGGCAUACCUUUGGAGACAAAUGUGCAUAUUCAUCCAACCUUAGCUGAUCAACCUUCUCUGAAGACUGGUACUUUGGGUACAUUGUGAGGAACUUGGAGAAUGCCUCGUGGAGUUCAGGAAUGGAUUCUUCAUUCUCAAAUAUGCGCUCUGCAGCUAAGGCUGUGGCACGCAAGAAUUCGCGCUGGGCAUUAAGUCUUGCUAAGGAUCUUGAUCUCCCAAGGCUCUCAUCUUGGUUUCCAACUGACUCGGACUCCAUAUCUCGCGAUUUGAAGAGAGACCCAUCUUCAGAUGCCUCUUCAAGAGCCUCUCUAAGCUUAUUUUCUUGCAAUUUUCGAAGAAUUGAUGGGUUUUUCCUGAUUUCAUGAUUGGAUUCAGACCCGUCUUUUUUCCUGCUCUUCUUGUCUAAGAUUAGAGCAGCACAAUGAGAUAUAGGCUUCCACAAUGAAAGAUGCAUUAAAGCUUUUGACUUUACAACCAAUCUAAGAAGAGAAUCAAAAAAUAUAAACCCAAGACUCCAGAAAAACAGUUGGGUUCAGUUGAGUUCAGGCGUUUAGCCCACAUACAAGGAACAGAGAAGGGUCCAGUUUCAAACCCUAGGUGCUAGCUAUAACAAGAAAGAAAAAGGCCCGACUCUAAAACCAGAUCAAGAGAGCUCUAAAUUAAGAUUUCUUCAACAAAGAACCUACAAAAAUGAAAAAGAAAUUUACAAAAACUCAGAACUAAAGAAGUCAGCUCAGCUUCAAAAAAUUUUCAGGUGAAAAACCCAUAGAAAUCUACAACCCAGAAUUGAAAUGACUCAAUUCAGUAAAGUCAAAAACCCAUUAGAGUGAAAAUUUAAACAAAGAAAACAAGUUUUUGAAGAGACCCAAGAAAGAUAGAGAAAGAGAAACAGAGAGUCAAACCCUAGACACCAAAACCCAGAUCCCCAAAUUUUGCAGAGAAACUCGCAUCAAGCAAGACACUAAGAAAGAAAAUUGGAUAAAAGGGUUUCACAUAACCUAGUUACUGAGUUUUGAAAGAAACCCUUUAAAUCCUUAAAUGUGAAUAGGAGUCAAGACUCCAUUAGCACACCAGAGAGAGCUCAAAAAGAAACUCUCUUUCUUUAGUUUCUCUCUCUCUUCACUGCAGCACGAAUAAAAGCAGGCAAAGGCAAAGCAAACCCCUCUCCAUAUCAAAUGCUCAUUUUACUUUGUGAAUAGUAAAUCCACAGCAAAGACAAACCAGUUUUUGAUAACCCCACUUUGCUCUCUCUCUCUCUCUCUCUCUCUCUCUCUCUCUCUCUCACUCUCAAUUGACUCUCUUUCCAGUUCCACAAUCUUCCACUAUAACCUCCCUUAACAAACAGUGAGAAGGACAUUGACUUUUGCAAACCAAAUGUAAGUCCUGUUAGUUUUUUUCUUUUCUUUUUUUUUUUUUUAACCCCUCUGCCUCUCUCUUUAAUUAAUUAAUUAAUUAAUAUUAUUAAAUUUAUAUAUUUCCAAUUAAUAUUCUAUUUUUUUAUAUAAUUUAUGUGCUGUAUGGGACCCGUCAGAACCUUUUCUACUAUUGGCCAUAGCUAAAAGUCAAAUAAUCUGCUAGCUCUCUUAAAAGCUGUUUUCUGUCCAACUUGGCACAAAUGCAGUGAAAACCACCACCAAAGUCCAAAACCUCCAACCUGAAUCUUGAUUGUUAAUCUCAUUUUUUAAGUUUAUUUAAUUUAAAAUUUGCCCAGACUAACCUGUAAAUCACAGUUACUAAACUAAUUUAUUGCUUAAAUAUUUAUUUUACAAUGUAAAUAUAAUUAAUGAAGUGAGUAUUUAUUUAAAAAUAUAAAAAAAAGUUAUUCAGGACAUAAAACAUUUUUUUAUCAUUUAAAUUAAACAGUUAUUUUUAUCCGACGCUUCUAAAAAAAAUGACAAAAAAAAUUACAGUACAAUUUAUGUGGUUUGUAAAAUACAACUAAUUUAUCUCUGUCUUUUAGAAAAUAAACUAUAUGUUCUUAUAGUUUAUUUUCGUCAGAUUACGAGGGCCUUUUAUUCAAUUUUUAUAUCUUUUCUGUUAAGUAUCUUAUGAAAUUAUCAAAAUAUCAUUUUAUUUUUAAAAUCACAAGGACAAAUCAAUUGUAUUUCUCAAACCAUAGGGACUGCACUAUAAUUUUUUUUUUGUAUAAUAUUUUAGUAUAUAUCUUUUGACCUCUUUGUUUUCUUACUGAUUUAACGAAAAAGAUGCAAAAAUUGAAUGACUUAAUAGUGCAACAGAAGCAAAAUAUAGGAACAAGUUAUUAUAUUUUAAAAAAGACAAUGAUAGACUAGUUGAAUUUCGCAAAUGACAAAAAUCAUAUUGUAAUUUUUUCCAUUUCUAAUUUAAACAUAUAUAUAAACAAUUAUCAGCUAAUCGUUACUGCAACACGUAACAGCUACUAAAAUAGUUAAUUAAUAUUAUCAAACAACACAUAACAACUACUAAAACAACUUAUAUUACUGAAUAACUACUAAAACAUAUAAUAUUAGCCAAGGGACUCUAAAACUCAAACAAGAAUCAAAUAAGACGAGAAAUUUUUGAAUAAUUUAGAAAUUAUAAGCAUGAAAUAGUGCUCUACAUGCAUUCAAGAAUGUCUAACAAUGGGAAGAUGAGUAUGAAUGUUAUAUUUCCAAUUUUAAAAUCAAGCCAUGAAUGUUAUACGUGUUUUGAGCUUUUGCCAUACUCAGACAAGGUCCAAGAAAUAUAAUUAACUUCUCAAUUUUUUAAAAAAAAAAAAAAAGAAAAAGAAAACUUGAUUGAUGAGAAGAUCAACGUGGAUUAGUAUUAUUUUAAUUUAAUAUUAAUUCACAUCUCAUGAAUCAAUUUUACGACUAUCACUAUAAAACGACAUAAUAGUCAACUUCUAGAUGUGAAUGAUUUAUUAAUUAUAGAAAAAAAAAUUCAAUAAUAUAGUGUUUUGUUCACUAUCAAUGUUUGCUUCUUUUGUUUAAUAUAUCCAAAAGAUAUUAACCUAAUAAAAUACAUAAUUCAACAACUCCCAACUGGUAUAUUCUGUUAAAUUUGCAAUUUUAUUUUUUUUUUCCAUUUAAUUUUUAAUUAUCAAGUUGAUAUCUUAGAUAUACAUCACUUUCUUUCUUUUUUUUUUAAUUUUUAUUUUCAUAAUUUAUUUGCAAUUCCCAUAAGUUAUAAAUAAAUUUAAAAGAUAAACUUAUGUCUUGGAUUAAAAAAUUCAAUGGAGUGCUGAGGCAAAGACUGAACCUGAAGGGCACAGCUAACCCCUUAGCAGUUAGCAAUAAAAAUUAUUUAAUAAAAGAAUUUUUUUUUUUUUUUUAAUAUCAAGAAUUGCUUAUAUUAAUGUUUGUGGGCAUGACAUGUGUAUUAAAGAUGUUAGGUGUUGUGGGGGCUCCUGUCCCUAAUAUGUUACAGUAUUUUAUCUGCAUUGUUGAAAACCUGUUAUAUUGGUUAACGGUUGAUAGGGUAAAAGAGUAAAUUUGAAUCAUAAAAUUUUCAAUUUUAGAAAUCCUUUUUUUUUUUUUCUAUUAAUACUUUAUAUUAUUUUUUAGAAAUUGAAAUAAAUCAAAACUGAGGAAGGGUUCCUUAGGAUUCUAAUAUUAUGAACUAGUAAAGCUCAAAACCCCAGAAAAGGCCGACUUGAUAAUUACAGUUUACUUUGUUAUUUUAGAAAAUUGACUAAACCCCACCACACUUUUUUUAAAGUUGGAUCCACAUAUCGAUGUUAAUUAAACAGUUUAGUCCUGAUUAAGUUGUUGAUUAUCCAAAUAAUUAAACAAAUAUAUAUUUUUUUUGUUUAAACCAGUUAUUUUCCAUUUUGUUCUUUCACUUUCCUAUUUGAAUUGAACCAAUUUCUUCCCUUCAAUUAUUAAGAAAAUGAAAAUUGAAUCUCAAUUUUUCCAGAUCUAUUAGUAAAAUUUUUAAUUCUAGAUCUAAGAUAGUUUAAUGAUCGGGUUCAUAAGUGUUUUUUUUUUUUUUUUUUUUUGGUAUGAUCAAAAGAUUUAAUCCCUCUCAAGCCGUAGAAUCUAAAUGUUUUUGGCACUUUUAACUAAGUAUCUCACUUUUACGCGAACUGAAGUCGCUAAUCCCUUGACUAAUAUUUAUUGGUAUAAGUGUGAUAUUUUGAUAGUGGGAUACUAAAUAAAGAACGGAUAGACUUAGAAUUAGUUGAACCGUAGUUGUUUCAAAAGACUUACAUUUUAUAGAUAUUACUGAAAAUUUAACUAUAAAUAGGGAAAAAAAUUGAUUUUAGCUAAUUUGGAAUUAAUAUUCAAUUAUUGUUGUGGAAAAAAACAAUUAUAAGAAAAUUGUCUCUCAUGCAAAUGAGAAACGAGAAAUGACAUUAAAUUGGAAAAAGAUAAAAAGAGUGCCAUAUUGACUAAAGUACAAAUUGCUUAAUCAACUAAUCAAAGAUAAUUAUAUUAAUUAAUUCAAUAGUCAAAAUUAUGACUUGAAAGAAACAAACAAAAUGUGAAGUCAAAGAGAUUCAAAAUCCAUGAAGGAGAGGAACAUAUACAAAUACAAAUACAUAUACAUAUACAUAUACAUACUUAUUCUGUCAAAUCUUUUUCUAUCUGAUAAGAGAUAUACUGUUGCUUUCUUAGCGGCCAAACAAACAGGGCACUGAGAAAUUCAUCUCUGGACCUGCUAUCAAUUAUCACAUAUGAUUGACGUGGAGAGCACGUGCAUCACUUUGGUUAGUCAACUUUGUUCCAUUGUAAAGCUGAAAUAACACUUUUUUUUUUUUUAAACAUUAACGUUGGUGGAAGAAGUCAAUUACGUAACAAUAAGAACGAUGAACUCAAUCACGUAAUAAUAAUAAUACAAAUCCGAUUUUUAGAAGUAAACUUUGUAGAAAGAUAAAAAAAUUUUUACAUUUGAAUUAAAUUACUAAUAAAUGCAUAUAUUAUUUUGUUCAAUUCUCCUCUUCCUGAAUAUUAAUAUAUAUAUAUAUGUAAAAAUAUGAAAAUUUUAAAUUUAAUAAUUUUUCUUUUUAAUUAAAGUAAUAUUUUUCAAAAUAUUAAAUGAUAAUAUUGCAUUACCAGUUUUGUAAAAGUUAAGAAUUUAACUUUUACUGUGUCCCAUUGUUUAAAAAAAUUCCCAGUGUAUUAAAGGAAAAAGGCCAGACUAACCUUGGUCAACACAUAAAAAAAGGGCAAAGCAAGUGCAAGAAUCAUUUUUAGCAUUCAAAUAUAGAACCCAAUUGUCUUGAUCGAGCAUCUUAUCGUUUUGCUCGUACACAGAUUUGGGACCGAGUCCCUAAUUGUCUUUGAAAUUUUUUCCUUGAGUAAAUAAAUAUUUUUUUACUCUUUCAAAAAAAAAAAAUAUAUAUAUAGAACCCAAUUGAUAACAAAGCUCAAAUCACAAGGCAAAGGAGUAGCAGCUAAGUGGUAAAGGGCUUCUUUAACAAGAAGACAAAAGAAGAAAUGGCUUCUACUUCUGCAUUGUCUCCCACUUUGCAUGUCAAUCAAAUGAUCAAAUGUAAAAUAAAAAAAAAAAAAAAAAAAAAAAAAAAUUAAGUAGCAGAAAGACUGGAAGACAAGACUAGCUUUGGCAAAGGUAAGUUUACCAGGAACUGCCUCAUUUGAAUUGAAAAUAAUGAGUAGCAGAAAAUGAUUUGAUUGUCCUUUUCUUUUGUUAUCGUUAUUUUAUUAUGUCAUUUCCUUUAUUCUUGAUUCUUCUUGUUGCUUUAUUAAUUUUUCUUCCCCAAGUUUCACUAGAAAGUGUGCAGGUGACUUUCCAUUCUGAAAUGGGAGCUACAAUUUUUGGCAUUUUAUGGGAAGAUGCCUUCAAUGGCCAUUUACCAAAAAAUGUCAUUAUUAAACAUACCUUGACAAAGAAAUCAAACCCACUCUUUUAAUUAAGUCCAUGUAUGCAUAGUUUAGCGACACCAAGCUUCAAUGAUCAGAAUUUUUGCACCAAUGCAUGAAAGUGCUAUUAUUAUUCUGAUAUUAUGGAGUCCCAUUCUCCACAAAACAGAUUUGAUUGAUUAAUAGUGUGUAGGGCCAUUUAAGGGUGUUGGUGGGCUAUUUAUGUGUAAUGGGCUCAGUUUUGGGUUUGUACUAUAGUAUCUAUUAUUAGGAUUUUCAGUUGGCAGAUAAGGUCAUUUAAGUAAAUAAUUACCCAUAGCAUAUGUUAUUGGUUCAAAUCGUUAUCCCCUCAUUAAUUAACUUGAAGAUCACCAAGACUAAGAUCCUGAAGUCUUUAAUUCACACAGAAGGUACCUAAACAUGAAGGGAUUUCUCGCUACUUGAGAGCAUUCAAGGAAUGCUAAUUUGCCAAAAUGCAGCCUAAUAAAACAAGGCCUGAAACCAAAAUCUAGUGUAGUGUCUAAAAAAGUUCCCAACUCAGCCUACCUGACACACAAAAUACAGAAACAAAAGAGCCCUUCAUCUUCCUUUUGGUAUCCCUGCUUGGCCUUCAAUCUUCUAGCAAACUGUCUUCAGUUCAUGUUGACUUCUGCUUCCGUCAUUGAGGAGAGAGAUACUGUUAAAAAGCUUGCACUAUAUCUGAAUAUUUUGCACAUUUGCCAUUGAUAAUUCACCAUCAUAGCCUUUGUUCACUCUACGCCUCUGUCUUAGUCUUCCACCAAUACUGUCCAAAUUUGGUUCAGUAGCUGCAGUCUUCUUCUUAAGCUUUGCACAACUCUCCACUUUAGAAGUACUAUCAGCAAUUUUGCCAUCCCCAACAUGCAUUUCCUUCUCUUUCUUCACCUCCUGAUUAGAGAGCAGAUAGUUGUUUAUAGACUGCUUGACAUCAGAAUUUUUCUCAUUUAUACCACUUAAUUCUGAAUCAAGAUGGUCAUUGGUUUUCAACUGUCCCAGCCUCAAGCUCUCAAGGAUAGUAUCAUGCUCUGUAGAUUGCAAUUGCAUUGCUUCCUCACUUUUAAGCUCAUUCUCUCUUUUUCCUUCAAAUAUAGGCAUUGACAAUCCAAAAUCGACAUAAACUUCCUCAUUGGUCUUUGUAGAUACCAUCUUCUCAGGCACUGCUUCACCAUCCGGAACAAGGAGAUUUCCACUGUAGGACGGUUGCUCUCUUUUCUCAAUCUUUAAACCACUUUCUCUCUCAUCUCUAAACAUAGAUUCUGGUAAUCCAGGAUGAUAAUGCUCCUCAUUAUUGACCUCUACAGAUUCCAUAUUGUCAUACCGUUCUUCACUGCCUGAAAAGGGUAAUGACCUCUUUGUUUGACAGUUGCUGGCCAGAAUUUUGCUAUUCGGCUCAGUCGUAGUCUUUAACUCAUCAUGAAUUGUCUCUUCAUAUUCAGGCAUUAAUGGCCUAAUUUCUUCAUUGGUAAUCUUUGAUGGCUUUUCCAUCUCUGAAAAGGGCAGAUACCUUUUCACUGAAACUUGAUUGGCAGUCACCAAUUCUUUUUCUACUGUAUUUUGUGAGCGUCGGGUUUGGAUCAGAUAGUGUGCAACUGACUUGUAACCCAAUCGUGAUAUCUACAAGAUAAACAAAAUGCUAAACUCAAUUUAUCUCCUGAAAAGUUGAGCCAGCUCUUCUUUUAGCAAAGAGUUUACCUUCUUGUAAAGAGGUCCGGUAGGAGCCCAUCCUUUUGCUUGCCGGCAAAAACUGCAGUUGCAAAUUCCACGACAGGGGGGACAUAUCCAAUUUGGAUUUUCUAUUGCUUCCAGUACAUGUUCUCCAUAUCUGCUUUCUCAUAAAACAAAAGGCUUUAAAACAUUAGAUUAUUUUAAAAUUACAGUUAAAAAAGCUCAUGAAAGUAUCAAAAUGCAAAGCAGAUAAAAGCAAAUGGAGAAUCUUUCAAACAAUUAUACCUCAUGUACAAACAAUCUCCACAAAACUGUCCUUGGACCAUCUUGCAUUUGCUGCAGUGGGUACGAUAACCAAGAGUUUUCUGCCUGUUAAAGACCCUUUCCUUCAGUUAAUGAUAGACACAGAUACCAUGAAGAGCACGACUUAAGAAGCCAAAUGCAUAUAACAUAACAGCUAUAUAAUAAAGAAAAAGAAAGAGACUGAGGAAACUUCGUUCUGAAUAUGUAUCUGUGUAAUGCAUUUUCAAGGUAUUAUGUCUAGCUGAUUGUUGUCCUAUAUUAAAACUACCCGCCUCUGUUGCUAUCACAUGACCUCCAAUUCACCGAACUAUCAUUAUUUCUUCAUUCAACUGUGAUAACACAGUUGCUGGUCCAAACUUCAAAACUACUUCCACAGCCUUGCCAGGGCUGCUAAGCUAAGCCAUUACCAACUUGGUCACCACUCUGCGUUACAAAUCGUCUGCCUCAUUCAAUCCGGAUAACACAUAUCAGCUCCAAAACCACAACUACAUACUGAUAGAAUGAGGCACCUGCUAACAGCAUCUAAUUUCUCCAUUAUGUUCCACCUUCAUCAAUUCUCUUACAUUUAUAAGCAACUCAGUUAGUUACACGGAUCAUGGACAAGCAUGCACAUUUAAGUUUUUCAAAUGCAAAGCAUUUUUAUGCUAUGAGAAUAUAACAAUAACAACUAAGCCUUAGUCCUAACUAGUUGGGGUCAGCUAUAUGAAUACUUUGUUUCAAAAUAUCAGCUUUGAUCAAAUGAAUAUCAAAUUAUGCUAUGAGAAUACAACUUCUAAAACAUAUUACAGGCAAAUGGCAUGAAAAAUUCUUGUUAGCAACUUCUAGAUAUAGCAGUUCUAGUGACAAUACUUUGGCAAAGGCCGACAGACUACACAACAGGCGUUACGCAUGCUUAUGCAAACUAAGAGGAUGUCAAUCAUAACCAGCAAUUUUACACCAUGAUCAAGUCAUGCACGCAUUGUGGUAUUUCCUUGUUAAAUUAAUAUUUUUUUUAUCACAGACCCUCAAAUAAUAAUCUUUUAUUGAAACCUCAAAUAAUAAUCUUAGAACUCAAUAAUCAAGAUCAUUAUCAUACCUACGAGGUUAAAAAGUGGACUCACCUGCAUUGAUGGCAAGUCUUUCCCUUAACCUGAUCAUAAAUCCGUUUUCCAUCUUUUCCAUACCCAUCUACAAAAAAUGUCCAGCUCCUGUCAGUACUUCCCAAAAGCUUCUCAUGCUCUUCUGUGUAAACCUCUGGCUUUGAACCCACCUCUAGCCUCACAUCUUCAUCUUCCAAUAAACCAUCCUUCUUUGCUAACACCGCUUCCGAGUAGCUAACAGGAGUAGCAUUGUGCAACCUAAAAAACCCCGCAAAGAAAUUUAAAACGAGAACACUCAAAUAUUAAUCAGUCAACAAAACUGAAUAUAAAUAAAUAAAAUUGUCUAGAUAAUAAAAUUAAAAAGACAUUAGGCGUAUAAAAGAAAACCCAGUCCAUUAAAGAUAAAAAGAAGCAAAUCAAUUGAUCAAUCAAGAUUGGUAUACAGAGAUUAUGACAUUACCUAGAGGAGCGGCGAAGAGGUCCAGGUGACUUAAGAGGAGAGGGACGUUUUGCUGGUGACGGGUUAUUUCUUUGGGUGCGUUUAGGAGCUGCAGAAGAGUUGAGCUUUUGAGAUAGGUCAAAGAGACCAAGUUUCUGCAUUCUUUCAAAGUUUGAUUUGAUUCUCUCUUCUCUUGAUUUCUCAUACAGUGACAUUUUUGGGGUUUGAUCAUCGUUGAUUUCUGGAGUAGGAUUUCCGUUGCAUUCUUCUGCAGAUUGUGAUUUUCUGGUUCCCAUAGUUGGCAAUCUCUGAGUUCUGUCUUUUUCUGUAUGAAGACGGUAAGCUUCACUUCACUCUCUCAACGGUCGACUUUUGAGGUUAACAUGGCAAGUGGGAGAGGGAAAAGGAAAGUUGGGCUGCGGACUUUCUAAAUGACAUUGAGGCCCUUCUACCAGUUACAAAAAUUGAUGAGCAUGUCGUUUCGUCCAAUGACCGCCUGAAAAAUUCUUUUCAAAAGCGUACUGGGCCUUACCGUCCAUAUAUGGGCCUUAGCCCAAUAUGAAUAUUUCAAGUUGACGCCUUCCUCACGACCUAACCCCAAGGAUCUUCCUCCCCAGAACAUUCUCAAUUCAAUUUUUUUUUUAUUUUUUAUAAUUUCCGUAUGCGUCACAUUUAUUAAAUUAGUUCAAUCUCUUUGAACUAGAAGAGAACCAUUUUGCGUAUAGAAAAAGCAAAAUCAUAACCUUCACAACACGCAGAGAAAUUUGCACCAAUGUUGAUAAACUACCCAUUUGAACAUUUUCUUCUUUAAUAGAGAUAAAUUAAAAGGUCAUACCAAAUUCAACAAUCCAAUAGAACAAGCUUGCAAGUUUCACCUAUGGAUUCUUUGUUUAUCUUAAAUACUCCUUUCUGCUGCAUCUAGUUUCAGAACAUCAUAAUCUUGUCCACUUUCAGAAAUUUAGAAGCCAUGGCCUUAAAGGUUACUCAAACCUUGGCCUUGUUGGUUGUUUUUGUUACUUUGAGUUUUAGAUUUCAAUAUUGUAAUGCAGCUGACUCUUCUGGAUUGGGAGCUUCUUUUAUUUUUGGUGAUUCUCUAGUUGAUGCUGGAAAUAACAAUUACCUACCAACUUUGUCUAAAGCAAAUAUCAAGCCUAAUGGAAUUGAUUUUAAGGCUUCCGGCGGAAACCCAACCGGCCGGUACACCAAUGGGAGAACCAUUGGCGAUAUAAUAGGUAAAUCUAAUUAAUUUCGAGCUAUGUUUUCUUAUAUUUGUUAAUUGAUUUAUUGAUAAUUCGUUUACAAUUCUUGUACUAUAAGAUCGACCAUAUACCAACUAGCUUAUUGCUUAAUUUUAAUUUAUGCAUUUGUUUCAUUUUUGUUUUAGGGGAAGAACUAGGGCAACCAAAUUAUGCUAUUCCAUUUCUAGCCCCAAAUUCAACUGGGAAAGCAAUACUGUAUGGUGUCAAUUAUGCUUCAGGAGGAGGAGGGAUUUUGAAUGCAACUGGAAGACUAUUUGUUAGCACUUAAUAAUUCCCAUAAUUAUUUUUAAAAAUCAUUUACAUAAUUAAUUAUCUAAUUGAAUAAUAACACAUGAAUAAUAUUGUUGCAGGUUAAUAGGCUAAGUAUGGACAUUCAAAUUGAUUAUUUCAACAUUACCAGAAAACAAUUUAAUCAAUUGUUAGGUCCAACAAAGGCAAAAGAAUAUAUUAGGAGGAAAUCCAUCUUCUCCAUCACCAUCGGAGCAAAUGAUUUCCUGAACAAUUAUCUACUUCCAGUUUUAUCUGUUGGUGCAAGAAUCACUCAAAGUCCUGACGGUUUCAUCGACGAUAUGCUCAGUCACUUAAGAGAACAGCUUACUGUAAGUAAAUUUUAAUUAGAAUUAAUUAAAAUUGCGUUUCAAUAUGUUCAUUUACUAACUCUUUGGUGGCCACAGAGAUUAUAUAAAUUGGAUGCUCGAAAAUUUGUAAUUGGAAAUGUCGGACCGAUAGGUUGCAUACCAUACCAGAAGACUAUAAAUCAAUUGAAAGAGAAUGAAUGUGUGGAUUUGCCUAAUAAGUUGGCAAAUCAGUAUAAUGCUAGAUUGAAAGAUUUGCUGACUGAAUUGAAUGAGAAUCUUCCUGGAGCUACCUUUGUUCAUGCCAAUGUCUAUGAUCUUGUCAUGGAAGUCAUCACGAAUUAUGAUAAAUAUGGUGAGUUAUAUAUAUAUAUAUAUAUAUAUAUAUAUACAAUUACGAUAAAUAAUGACCUAAUGCAAAAAUUUGACCCUGUAUUUUCGAUGAUUAUCCUUGUGGCCUCCUAAAUUUUACGAGGAACCCAUCAUGACCAUACACUUUUACAUUUCAAUAAUAAUUAUGCUACUCGCUAAAAUAAAAUACAGAAGAGUAGGUUUAUAAUUGAAUUUUUUGCAAAGUUUACGGGCCACAAGUAUAAUUAACCAAAGUUUCAGGGUCAAAUUUAUAUAUUAGGCCGAUAAAUAAUGAGAUAUGUGCAUAUGAUUAGAGUUAACUGGAUGUGAAUAUUUUUGCAGGGUUUACAACAGCAACAAGAGCUUGUUGUGGAAAUGGAGGGCAAUUUGCAGGGAUAAUUCCAUGUGGACCUCAAUCUAGUAUGUGCGAGGAUCGUUCCACGCAUGUGUUUUGGGAUCCUUACCAUCCAAGUGAGGCUGCCAAUCUUCUACUUGCCAAGCAAUUGCUUGAUGGAGAAAAAAAAUACAUUUCUCCUAUGAAUCUUAGGCAACUCAGAGAUCUUUGAUUUUCAUUUUUCAUGUGUAAUGAUUUUCUUUUAUUGAGCAAAAUCUAAUUUCUUCCUCCAUUAACAAGAUUUUGCUCUAUACCCUUUUUACCUUUUUCUUUUGUUUUCCUCUUCUUUGUUUCACAUUUUCAUUCUCCUUUCAUGUUGCCUUGCAAUAUGGUUUGAGAGUACAAUUUUAAACAAAAAAACUUAAUAAUUAAUUUUUAAUAGGGCCAAAUUAAGGCUUGUCUCUUUGUGUUUGCAUGUGCUCCGAUCUACAAGUGUGAUAUUUGGCAAUGAAGGGUACUACCGGGAGAAGAGAUAGACCUAAACUAUGUGAAAGGAAGUUAUUCCAAAUGACAGAUUUAGAUAUGAAUAUUUCAGUAUAGAGAUAAAUGAUUCAUAUAAUUAAUCAUAAUUAAUUAAAAUCAUAUUAAGGGAUUUAAUUAGGUGAUUAAUUGAAACCAGAGCUAGCAAAAUAGUUUACACCAAAAUCAAUUUUAUCGCUAAGAAAGUAAAAAUAUUUAACAGAAAUAUAAAUAAUUAUUGCUAAAAGAUUAAGGUACCUAGGAUUGUAUCCACGGAAUCUUAACUCGCUUUAAAAGAUAUAUAAUUAAAGAAUUGACUCAUAGAAAUUUUGCAUUGAGAAGAUUUGAACUCAUGACAUUAUGAGUCCUUCAAUCUCUUACAUGCACUUAGCUACUGUGCUAUCCAUGCAAUUUCCUUUAUUAUUUAUAUUGCUUAUUGCCAUUAAUAUUUAUAUUAAUAUUUGAAAAUAAAAAUUAUAGUAUUAUAAAAUAUUUUCACCCAUGAAAAUAAUGGGAAUUAAAGAGAAGGAAUCAGAAACGAAGAAGAAGAAGCCAAAAAGAAAAAGAAAGAGCAGAACGAGGAAGAGAAAAAGAGAAGGGAAAAUUGUCAGGUAUUAUGGACGACCGAAUAAGCAGACAAUGGGUGCUGACUGAGUGAGGAGGUUCAACAAUGUUGUCUUGAAAGCGACACAUGAUAUUGUCAAGUAGACAUUUAGAUGGCUACUGAGGCCGCGCGUGCCACUGUAAGAGAAUCCCCACCUCCAUCAUCCACCGACACCUCAGGUCCUUCACUGACACCUGUCUCUGUUUACCGGACCCCACCUAUCUCUUUCCCCUUCCUACUAGUCCUUGACUUCUUUUCUUCACUUAAAUAUCUAUAUACCAAAAAAUUAAAAAAAAAAAAGAUUUUAGGCGGUAAAAUUCCAAUUUUUUAAAUCUUAAAAAAAAAAAAAAAAUCAUUUUGGUUGGUUUUUAUUUGUUUUGGUCCAAUUGCAGUACAAAUUCUGGUCUAGUAUUGGUGAGGCAGAGCUUGUAUUACUUGUUUAGGAAGAGAGAUAAAAGGGUGAAAAAGACUUUUAACUUUUGUUGGAAAAUUUAGUGAAUCUACUUUUAGCAUGAGUUAGUCUUCCUGUGAUAUCUGCUAAUCUGUACUAGAAUUUACAAGAGAGAACAAAAAAGAAUUAAAUUUAUUUAUUUUCCUGAAUUUUUUGAUAAAAAAAUAUAACCAUAAAAUAUAAAUAUUCAAAUUCUAAAUUUUAAAUUUCACGUUCUUUGAAAAAAUUAUUAAAUUUAUUUAAAUUACAAUAAAUUAUCGAGUAAAUUGACUAUAUUGUUCUUAAUUUAAUACUAAUUCUUUAAGAAACCAUUAUAUUGAAUUAAUAAUUAUUGAUAAUAUACAAAUUGUAAAUAUGAAAAAAAAUAAAUUUUAUUACUCAUUGAAACCAUAAAUGUGACAAAUAUGUUAAAAUAAAUUAUUUUCUUAAAUGCGAUAAACAUUAUGAAACGGAGAGCAUUUGAUCGGUGAUAUGUGAAUCAUGAAUAAUGUUAGGAGGUUGAUUAGUAGUAUGAACUUAGGGGAAAUUAGUAGAAUAUUAAGUGAGUAGUUGAUAGCUUGUGCAUGUUAAGUUGAGAAUUUAAGUGUUUAAUUCAAGAAAAUUAAGUAGAGGACAAGAGAUUUAUGUUACCAUAAACGUGCUAUUCAAAAUGAAAAGACAUGGACCUUCCAUCCAAUGACUUCAACGUUUGUUUAUGCGUGCUUUGCAUGGGUACCACACGCACCUAUUAGAAAAAUAACCUUAUCCUGAUCAAAAUCAACGAAAAUAUAAAUUUUUAUUAAAAUAAUAAUAUUUUUGAUUAUAUAUUUUAAAUAUUUUUUUAUUAGUGAAAUAAAAAUUUGGCCCUUAAUAUUUUUUUUAAUAUUCCUUUAACCAAAUUUAUCCCUCUUUACUAUAAAUCAUACUCUGGUUGAAGAUAAUUUAAUUAGGGCAUUUUUUAUUAAAAAAAAAAAAAUUAUUGUAGAAAUAACAAGAUCUUAUAAUGUUAAUAAAAAUUCUCAUAAUAAUAAAUUAUAUUGCCACAAUCAAUCAUCUUGGAAUGGAAGGAUUCUUUUUCAAAAAAAACACACACACACACACACACAUUGGAAGAGUUAUAUGCAAACAUUGACUAAUGACAACGACAGGUGUAACAUAAUGUGACAUGAGGAGUACGUUUGAGUGGAAUAACGUCCGUGGGAUUUAACAUUAACCAAAAGAAGAAAGGAAUCGACGAUGAGGAUGGAAGGAGAGGAGAAUAGUGUGUCCAAAGAAAGGAAACAGUGCUGUUUGGUAACGAGAACAGUGUAGCGAGAAAUCCGGGAAGAGAUUGGAGAUGGGGCAGUACGGAGGAGGAAUCUGAUGCGGACAUGACGCGUCCGAAAUCAGAGGGAAGACCCAAUUAUUGCUUCCCACGCUGCCCCGACAUCUAUGAUUCUGUCGGUCCUGUCCCACCUCAGACACCCCCUCCCUCUCUCUAAUAACCACCGCUGCUACCACCACCUCCACGUCUAUCACCACCACCACCGCUACCACAAUCCAUCAGUCCGUCUCACUCUCACAUUCUUGGCUUCUUUUGCCGCUCAGCUUCUUCAAAUUUUGGCUCUCUCUCUUUCUCAGUGCAUUAGACAUGAUUCAACCUCAACUCACAGUAUAUCAAAUUUUGAAGAAUUUAAUCAAUCGAAUUACAUUCUUUUCCAUAAAAUAAAAUUCAUAAUACGAUCUACCAAUAAUGGUGAGUAUUCGAUUAAUCAAAUUGAAUUAGCUCAAUUUCGAUUUAAUUUAGUAUAUUUUUAUGGCAUUCAAAUCUGAAAUUAAAUAAUAUAAUAAUCGAUUCAAAUAGAAUUAAAUUGAUUUAAUUCAAUUAUUUUAAACCAAAUAAACAAUUUUAAACUUAAAAAUAAAUUCGUUUAAUUACGUAUGGUAAUCGAAUUUCUAAAAUAACAGAUGAAAAUAAGCAUUGUGUUUGUGUGUCCAUGGAUUUAUCUAAUAAUGGGUUUGAGAAUGAUUUAAAAGUGAAUAAGUGUGUAUAGGAUCUUGCGUAGCCCACAAAAAAUCUAUGCAUUUUUGUGUUGGAAGCAUGGGUGUAUGUAUUUUUUGUAUGUUCUUGUGAUUAGUAUAUUAAUCAAUGAAUUAAUUAAUUAAUUAAUGGCACAAUCUAUGCUUUGAAAUUUAUUAGUUUUAAAUAGUCUAUGCAUGACUAGGGGAAGAAAAAGAAACUGAUACUGACACAUCAAUUGCACAAAUCUAUUUCAAAUGAUUACACUUGUAUGACAAUUUUUUAAUCUAAGUUGGAAUUUCAGUCACAUGGUGAAGAGAUUGCUGUGAGCUGCAAUCCACUAGUAUUAUUCAUUAAUCAUAUAUUAAAAACAUUAUUUUUCUUCAAUUUUAUUUUAAGCAUAGCCAACAUUGGAAUAAAAACUUUAUAUAAUCCACCAUAAUGACUUUAGAAUUAACGCUUAAUUUAUAAUAAAAAUUUAAGCAUUUUCUAUUGAGAAUACUUCAUAAAAAAAUAUAAACAUUGAAACCGUCCAUAAACUUAAUUAAUUUCUGUUUAUUCUUAAAGGUAAAAGUUUUAAUUUAACAAAAUUUACAUAGUGAAAGAUCACACUCAUAAUCUAAAUUACGACGAUCGUCCUCGCAAAUAUCGUUUGAUGCUGAAACUUCCCAUUCAGGUUUGUUAAGAUGGAUUAUUCUAGUCUGUAAUUGGGAAGACUAGUACUGGUUGGUUAAUUGAUUAAGGACAAUCUAAUUCUAGUAUAUAAAAAGAAUGGAAAAAGGGCAGGCUAUCUGUCUCUUAGCAUAAUGGUUGUAUUAUUGGGAUUUGGAAUGUAGCUAGAGCUACCUUUGUUUGCUCCAAAUUCUACUCAGUGCAAUCCUUAUCUAGAGCAGCCUCUCUCUUUCUAAUUAAUGGAAACAAAAACGAAGUGACAUAAUGUGUUUUCUUUUUGGUUUUUCUGUUUUACUUUCCUUCUCAACAAUAUGAAAAUGAAAUAAAUAUAACAAAAUGUGUCCUUUUUUCUUUUUUUUUUUACUUGUAUAAAAUUAAUUUGAAGAGUGUUAUUGAAAAGGAAAAGUAUUCAUGUAAUGCAAUUCAGGAACAUAUUAGCAAUUAUGGUGAUGUAGACAAUAAGUUUUAAAUUUAGAGUAUUAGUUUGAAGAAUAAUUCUAAUUAUCACUUGGACUAUAAUUAGUGACCUAUGGGCCCUUGUUUUGAUCAAUAAUGCUAAUGCCUCUACCUAACUUAUCACAUCCUUCCCCACCACCAUAGAAAGAUUAGUAGAUAGAUAGAGAUAGAUAGAAACUAUCUAUUCUAAUUCUAAAUGAAGAAAUUAAAAAAAGAAAAAUAGCAAUAUCAUAAAUUUAACUCUGAACUUUGACUGAUGAUUCUCUAGAUUUUGAAAAAGUGUUGAUUCGGUAUCUUUCUUUUUCACAUUUUAUUUUAUUAAUGAAUAUAAUUAUUAUUGAAAUUUAAAAAUUAAGGGAAUUACAAGAAUAAUCGAUGAUACGAGAUUCAAGAAAUCAGAAGAAUAAUGAACAAACACAUGGUCAAAUUUAUGCAUUAUCCUCUAUAUUUCAAUUACCUUUUUUGCUUUUAUCUAUGCACAUUCAUACAUACAUACAAAACACGAGCCGCAUACCCUAGCUGAUUAAUUAAUAGCCGAUCCAUUCUGGAGCCGACUGAAAUGUCGUGCCUAACAGAACACUGAAAAGCUGCACUCUCUCUCUCUUCUCAUAUAUCCCUCAGAACUCGUUUCAGUGUCCUCCAGAUUCUCUCUCUCUCUCCAUAAAAGGCCCAUCUCUGCUCUUUUGCCACCCACACAAACACAAACACAAACAAUCCAUACCCAAUUCCACAUUCUUCUUUGCUGUCCAUUUUCUCAACUCUUUUAAUCUUUAUCUUCUUCUUUCUCGAAUAUUGAUCAUAACUAACCAAAAGCAAAGCAGAACAAAACAAAGAAGAACGAAACCUAAAUUACCCACUUCCCAUUUCCCAAAAUGCCAUCAGACUCUUCUUCCACUGAAACUAGAAGAUUAACUAAACCCCAUAACACAGGAGCUCCACCGCCAGACCAAGAACACCUUCCAUGCCCGCGCUGCGAUUCUACUAACACUAAGUUCUGCUAUUACAACAACUAUAAUUUUUCCCAGCCUCGUCAUUUCUGUAAGUCUUGUCGCCGUUACUGUCCCCCCGGCGGCACCCUUCGUGCCAUUCCGGUUGGUGGUGGCACUCGGAAAAAUGCUAAAAGAUCACGCACCACUUCUAGUGGUUGUACUGUAGUAGGGCCUAUGACGGCCAACACAGCUGACCAUAACAUUCCAUUACCGGCUACACCAGUACUGGUCCCACUUAUGGCCAAACAAGGAAAUUCUAUACAGUUUGGCUGCGGUGGCGGUGAUGGGAAGGGGAAUGGGUGUGGUUCUAGUGGUAAUUCUACAGUAUCUGGUAGCUUUACUUCUUUGUUGAAUACUCAGGGCCCUGGAUUUCUAGCAUUGAGUGGGUUUGGGCUUGGACUUGGAUCUGGGUUUGAAGAUAUGGGCUUUGGGCUUGCAAGAGGAGUCUGGCCUUUUCCCGGUGUAGGAGAUGGUGGUGCUGGCGGUGUUGGUAGCAAUGGCGGUUCUGCUGGAGGAAUGAGUAACACGUGGCAAUUUGAGAGUGGUGAUAAUGGAUUUGUAGGUGGGGAUUGCUUUUCUUGGCCAGAUCUUGCUAUUUCAACCCCAGGAAAUGGUCUUAAAUGAGAUAUUGUUCUUUUAGUAGUUCUUGUUUUUUCUCUGAUGGGUUUAGACCCAAUUCUAGGAAAAAAAAAAAAAAAAAUUAAAGAACCUUGUUUGAUGGGUUUAGUUAAUUAAUUACUACUUACUAUUAAGUGUUGAGAAGAUAAUUAGGUUUGAAAUUAGAAAGAAAAAUAUGUAACUUUUCUUUACUCUAUUUCAUGUGAUUUUGUUAGUUUGAUGUACCUCUUUUUGUGUAGUUUUCAUAUACAUGCCACCCUUUAAAUUCUCUUUUCCUCUCUAGCAAAUUUUUAAUACAAACUUUUUAUUGAAUGAUUAUGGACCGACUAAUCUUAAUUUAAUAUGAAAUUCACAUUUUCUUCUAUUCAUUUCAUGAAUGGGUACAAAUGGAAUUUCCCUUUUAGAGUUUGCAGCAUAUACUUCAAUUUGUAUUUAAUAUAUAAUAAUUGACUGAUUUGAUUUUUGAGGCCCACAUUUAAAUUUUAAUUCUUAGUAUAAUUUAUAAUGAUUUGCUAGUUCAACAUUAAUUGAGUGCAAUCAUUCUCAUUGCAUAAGCAUCACCCAAUUUCUACUCUCCUAUCCCAAUGCAUUACCUGCUCUACAGAAUUCUGCAAUUGAAGUUUCAUAUGCCAGGACCCACAGAGUUGGACCUCUAGAACCUCAGCCUAAUGGUUAAUCAAAUUGCAAAAAUUAUAUUUUCUUUUAUUUUGCAAUUAUUAAAGGAGCAUUUACAUUAAUUAUGAGAUAAAAAAUUAAUUAUGGUGUCGCUUGGUGUUUAUAAUUAAAUUUAACUUCAAUUUUCAUAUCUUUUUCAUUUAAUCAGAUAUUUUGAAUUCAAACCAUGAAAUUUAAUUAGUAAAAAAAUUAUAUAUCUUAUUAGACCAUUUUUAUCGUUGAAGAUACAAUUAUUUUCUUACUCUCGUAACCUACUUGAUACUUCGUUAGUAACAACGUUUGCAUUUUUUAUUGAAAGUGACAUAUUAUCUUAAUAUAGGGUAUAUUAGAAAAAUGCAAGUAAAAUUUAAUAUUAUUCUAAUAAUAUUAAUUGCUUUGCUUAAUCUAUGUAAAAAUAAAAAUAAUAGUAUCUUUUUAGGCCAAAGAGAGUAAUAUAAUAAAAAAAUUAAAUUAAAUAAGAUAGUGUUAUUUUUCUUUAACAUAAAAUAAAAAAGUUAAAGCCAAAUCAAACUAAAUUAUAUAUGAUAGACAUUAUAUAUAAAAGUACGAGGAUAUUGGGUUCCUAAAAUGCGCCGCUAAAUUUUCAAAUUGACAAAAAUAUUAUGGAUCGAGAACUUUAAUUUUAUUGGUUAAAAAAUAAAUAUAGUUUAAUUUUAAUUGUUUACGUUAAUUUACUAUUUGAAUCUAAAUUUUAUUAAAAAUUUUAAUCUAAUUUUAAAUAGAAAAUUUUCUAAUUUAGUCUCAUUUAAAUUUGGAUAAAAAUAAAAUAAAAUAUUAUUAUUUGGAAAUUUUAAUUUUAUUGGUUAACUGAUUUCCUAUUAUAUAAUGAUUUGCUACAUGUAAGGGGAAAAAAAAAAAAGGAUUACGUUAUAUUAAUCCUAUUAUACUACUUUCUACAUUGAAGGAAAAAAAAACAACUGACUAAUUUCUUUCUAUUAUAUUCAUACCUUCUAUACGUGGGUAUAUAUAUAUUCAAAAAAAAAAAAUAUAAAUGAAGAUAUUAUUAAUAUAAAUUAUUAUUAAUUAUAUAUAUAUAGAUUUUGUUUUAUAUAUGAGUUUGAAAAUUAGCUUGUUCGACUCAAUUAGGACUAUUAACUCGAUUAGGAGUAAGAAAUUAGCUUAUUCUACAAAUUAUAUGAAAUCAAUUAUUUACAUAAGCUAGUGUAAAAAAAUUUAUAGUGUUAUCAAAAUCCUUAAUUAUAGCGGUAUAUAUAAUAAAUCCCUCUUAAAUUUUAGGGUGUCACAAUUUUUUUUUUAAAACUUAUAGGUAUUAAUUUAGAUAUUUGGCUACAUAAUUAAUUAUUUCUUCUAUAUGUUUAGAUUUUGAUUUGAUAGAAUUAGAAUAAUAAGGAGAUGACUACAAUAAAUUGAAUUUUUUUAAAAGAAACCGAGCAAAGCUGAAAUUUGUUUAGAACCAAAUCAAACUAAUUUAAUUAAGCUUAGUUUGAUUUACCUUUUUGAUUUUUCCUUAUUUUUUAAGAUUUUUAUAACUUAAAUAGGUUUAAAAAAAAAAGAAUUUUUGAUUUUUCUGUGUACACUAAAAUCAAACUGAUAAAUUUUAAAAUCAAAUUCAUUUGAUUCGAUGGAUUCAGUCUAUUUUUUCAAACAGUGCUCAACCUAAUCCAAUCGAUGAAAUAUGGUAUGGAUAUAAAAAUUUCCAUUUAAAAUUUUCAAGGAAAAUUUCUUUUCCUAAGAUAGCAGAUAUCUAUUUACGUUAAAUUAUAUAUAUAUAUAUAAUCAGUCCAUCUUAUAUUGUCAAAAUCAUUGCAAAUCAUAAAUUCAUAACUAAGUGCUCGUUAAGAUUUUCCAUGGCUCGUCCUAUCUUUAGCAUUUUAGUAGCUUUUUUGCUUAUUAUCAAGUUCCAUGAUUUUGCUGGUAUGUUAUAUUAUUAUUAUUUUUCUGAAAAAUACUAUCAUAUUUGUUUAUUAUUAUACUUUGUAUAGAUUUUUUUGAGUCUGUUGGGUAAAAUUAACUGUUUAAGUGGUUAGUUAUUAACUGUUUGAGUAGUCCUAAAACACUACAAGCUAAACAUUAGAUUAGUUAUUUUUUUUAUAAAACGCUGCCUUAACUUCUAAAUGAAUUGGUUACACAGUUUAAACAAAAUUUUUUCAUCCCUUACUUCUUAUUAAGUUACCCAGUUUUUUCCGAAUGCUAAUUUUGUUGCCUGGUAAACCACCAUUGGUGCUAUGCAGGAGCAGAAAUUGGUGUGACCUUCUCAAGACUAGCAGACAACUUUCCACCAGCACAAGUAGCUGUAAACUUUGCUGAAUCGAAAGGCUUCAAAAGAAUUCGUCUUUACAAGCCCCAUCACGAUGCUUUACAAGCAUUGAAAGGUCAGGGCAUACAAGUGAUCUUAGGAGUUGGCGACGACGAAGUUGAAGCAGUAAGUAAAUCCGCUGCACCGAAAUGGGUCAAAGACAAUGUUGUGCCAUAUGCAAAUCAAAUAACCAUUAUAGCCAUAGCUAUUGGACAUGAUCUAAUCCCUAAUAGUAAAUUAGCAGUUUACGUUCUUCCUGCACUGCAAGCAAUGAAAGAAGCACUGGAAGAUCAUGGGCUUACUCUUAUUUCUGUAACAACGCCAUUUACAUUAAAUACACUUCUUACACAUUUUCCUCCAUCCCAUUCAACUUUUGAUCCGCAAAAGAUUUAUCUUAUUAAACCCAUUAUCAAUUUCUUGGCAACUCACAGUCCUCUUCUUUUAUGUGAUAUUUACCCUUAUGAAGCUUAUCUAAUGGACUCUCACCUUGUUAGUUUAGAUUAUGCUUUGCUUAAUAAGACAAAUGUUGAGGUUCUAGAUGGUCCAUUCGAAUAUACCAAUAUGCUUGAUGGUUUAGUAGAUGCUUUUUACAGUGCAAUUGAAAAACUUGAAGCAGGACCUGUUAAGAUUGUUGUGAGUGAAACUGGGUGGCCGUUUUCUGAAAAAAUAUAUGCUUCUGCUCAAUAUGCAAGAGCGUAUGCUUCAAAUGUGUUCAAACGGGGACAAGCAAAUACAGGAACACCGAAGAAACCUUUUUGGGCAUUGGACGUUUUUGAAUAUAACUUGUUUUUUCAAAAUGAUGCUCCUCUAGAUAAGAAACCAUAUGCUUUAUUUUACCCUAAUAUGUCUGCCAUAUAUUUUAAUUAGGGUUUGUAUUGGAUAUUGUAAAAUCUUAUCACUUUUUUAUUUUAUAACUUAUUGUGUGUAAGAAUAAAUGUGAAAUAAUUUAUAUAUUUUAAGAUUUGCUGUCUGAAGUUUUCAUAUUUUCCAAAUUCAGUUCAAAAACAAUUCCUUACAAAUUAUAUUUUGCCCACUCAAAAUGUUAAAAAUUAAUAUUUCACAGCAUUUGUUUCAGCCCUUGAACUUUAUUUUCUAAUUUCACCCGACACUUGAUAAUGCAUUUCUUUCUUUUUCUUUUCUUUUUUUUUAAUUUUUUUUUGUUAUUUGUGUAUACUUAUCAAUGCUGGCUAUAAUGCAAAGUAAGAGUUCAUUGAGAUAAUAAAUAUUUUCUAUGUAGAUUAGGUUAAAAUCUAUUGCAUUUAAAUUAAGAAAAACAUUGCCUACUCCUUGCGUAUAUCCAGUUAUCCAUUCAUAUGCCAAAUCAAUUAAAAAAAUGUUUUUGGCUGUAAUGGGAUGUUUUUGAUCAUUCAUUGAAAAAAAAAUGAUAGAACAAUAAUAAAUUAAAAAAAUCUCUAUUGAUUGAUUUGUGUACGAUAAAUAUUUAUUAGAGACUUAACUGUAAUUUAUAUAUAAGACCUAAUUAUAUUUUGUGAACUAAAUAUUAUAUUGUGCAUAGAAUUUGAUUACGAUUAUUUCUAAUCAUUCUUCGACACUCAAUUGAUGAUCAAUCACUCCAAAAUAAUUAUUCAAUUCGUAUUUCAAACACUUAUUUAAUAAGGAUUCCAACUACAACUUUAAUCAAUAUCUUUCUACAAAACUCUCUACACAGUUAGGCAAUAUCUACGCAAUAGGCAACAUAGUAUCUAUUUAAUUGGGAUUAUUUAUUAUUCUUUUACUAAGUUAAGAAUCAAAGUGGUUAUUUGAAAUAUCCCGAAUUUUUAUUUUCGAAACUUUCAAAUUUAAUUUAAACCAAAAAUCGAAAAUUUUUACUAUGUGGACUGUAAUUAUAAUACAGUUCCAAAUUCGAGCCCAAACUUUCCGAAUUGGCCCCAAGCCCAAAAGCAAAUUAUUCGAAAUCUUCGAUUUGAAAACACUUAAAAUUUUUGAGAAAUAAUAUGAAACUCCGGUAAUUAAUUUAUGAUGAAUAUAUAUAUAUAUAUUUAAAUACACAAUUAAAACGAAUAGAAAAUUUAUUAGAAGAUAAACCAAUUGUAAAUGAGAAUGUGAAAGGUAAAGAAAAGGUAAAAACUCAUAUGUUUAAACCUUAUCAAAUUUCUCAAUCUAGUCAAAAAGAAUUUGUACAUCAAUUAAAAGAUCAAUUAAGUAAAAUUCAAGUUAGAUCUGCGACUACCCAACAUGUAGCUCAGGAUACUCCUCAAUCAUCAGCAUCAAGAAACAUAAAUAUAAUUGAAGAAAACACCAACUCUGAUGUUAGUGAACCUGACUCAGAAAAUAUUCAACAAUUUGAAAUCAAUCCUAUAAAUCAUCAUAGAGAAAUAGUAAAUAGAGCACCAGACUUAGGAAUUGUUGAUAAACCUAAUACUAUAUCUCAAUUUAAAUAUAAUGCUUCAACAAUCUAUGAAUGGAACAUAGAUGGUUUAAGUGAAUAUAAUAUCUUAAGUAUUUUGCAACAAAUGACAAUGGCUGCAAAUGCUUAUAAAACACAGUCAAUCAUUUCUGAUAAAGCUAUAGCAGAAAUCUUAAUUGCUGGAUUUACCGGCCAACUUAAAGGAUGGUGGGAUUAUCAUCUCACUGACCAACAACAUUUAGAAAUUCUAAAUUCAAUUCAAAUAAAUGAUGAAGGUGAACCUAUAUAUGAUGAAAAUGGUGAAGUAAUUCAAGAUGCGGUGUCAUCUUUAAUUCUCACCAUUUCACUUCAUUUUAUAGGAGAUCCAUCUCACUUAAAAGAUAAAAAUGCCGAGUUACUUAGUAAUUUAAAAUGUAAACAUUUAGGUGAUUUUCAAAAUUAUAAAACGACUUUUCUCACUAGAUUAAUGUUAAGGGAAGACUCUAAUCAAAGCUUUUGGAAAGAAAAGUUUUUAGCUGGGUUACCUUAUUUCUUGGGAGAAAAAGUUAGAAAUCAUAUUAAACAACAACAUGGUCAACCUAUACCUUAUAGUAAGUUAACCUAUGGACAAUUAAUUAGUAUAAUUCAAAAGGAAGGUUUACAAAUAUGUCAUGAUCUAAAACUUCAAAGAAAAAUAAAAUAUGAAAUGCAAAAAACUAAAAAAGAAUUAGGAUCAUUUUGUAAGCAAUUUGAUUAUAAUUUCGUAUCAAACCAACGAUGUGAUGGUCAAUGUUCUAAAACAAAUAAACCUAAAAAAUAUUAUAGAAAUAAAUACUCUAAAAAACAAUAUAGAUAUACACCUAGUCAAGAUAAAUUUUAUAGUAAAAAGAAGACAAAAUCUUCUUAUAGAAACAAAAAUAAACAACCUUCUAGAUCUACCACUAAAACUUCUUAUAAAAAUUUAACUUGUUACAAUUGUGGUAAAAAAGGGCAUACAUCUAAAUUUUGUAAAUUUAAUAAAAGAUUACAUGAAUUAAAUUUGGAAGAAAACGUUUUAAGUAAAAUAUACGAACUCUAUAUUGAUUCGGAUUCUUCGGAAUCUGAGACUAAUGAAAGUGAAAAUCAAAUUGAUGAAUUAGGAACUACUUCAAGUUCUUCCAGUUCAUCAAAAUUUUCUUUAAACAUGUUAUCUAAAGAUCAAAGCAAUUUAUUAACAGUAGUUAAUGAUAUUGAAGAUCAAGAAACUAAAGCUAAACUUCUUAAAAAACUAAUAAACAGUUUUGAAGACGUAGAUGAAGUAAAAAAUAUUACUCCUAAAAUUCAGUCUAAUAUUUAUGAUUUAACUACCAUUUUAAAUAAAAAUCAACCUAAAAAGGUCGAUAUAGAUGACUCUACUAAAGAAUUAUAUAAAGAAAUUAAGAUGCUAAAAAAUGAAGUAAAAGAAUUAAAAACCCAACUUCAACAAAAUUCUAAAAAAAUAAAAAUAUUAGAAUCUCAACUUAUUUCCAGUUCUUCUUCAGAAGAAGACGAACCAGAUAAUAAUUUAAAAAUAAAUGAAUUAGAUGAAGAUGUAGAUUGUAAUUUUCUCAAUUUAUUACAAGAAAUCACUUCACGAAAAUAUUUAGUAAAAAUAAACAUUCAAAUAAAUGAUUUUGUGAUAGAUGCAAUUGCACUCUUUGACACAGGUGCAGAUUUAAACUGUAUAAAAUCUGAUCUAGUUCCUAAAAGAUAUUGGUUAAAAACUAGUGAAAAAUUAAGUACAGCCAACAAAUCUAAACUUGAAAUUAUAGGAAAAACAGAUGCAAUAAUCAUAGAUCAAGCCUUAGAAAUAAACACAGUAUUUUUACUUUCACCUCAGAUAAAUUAUAUGGUAAUAUUAGGCACUCCAUUUAUAAAUCUCAUCACACCAUAUUCAGUUAAAGAGGAUUGUAUUAAAUUUAAAAUAAAAAAUUGCAAAGCUCAAUUGGAAUUUACGGAAAAACCUAAAAAGAAACAAUUAAAUUUACUAAAAGCUCAUUCUAUUAAAAUGUUAGAAAUAAAUUCUUUAAUCAAAUCUAAAGAAGAAAACUUAAAAGAUUUGAAAAAUAAUGCAUGUUUAAAUAGAAUUAAAAACCAAUUAAAUUCUGAUGAUAUCCAAAAUAAAAUCUCAACUCUAAAAAAUUUUAUGGAAAACAAAUUAUGUGCUGACCAUCCAAAUGCUUUUUGGAAUCGUAAACAACACAUAGUGGACUUACCAUAUGAAAAAGAUUUUGAUGAAAAAACCAUUAAAACUAAAGCUAGACCAAUUCAGAUGAGUCCUGAAUUGAUUGACCAUUGUAAAAAUGAAAUUCAAGAUUUACUUAAUAAAAAAUUAAUUUCUAAAUCUAGAAGCCCAUGGUCUUGUGCAGCUUUUUAUGUAAAUAAAAACGCUGAAAUAGAACGAGGUGCUCCCAGAUUAGUAAUAAAUUAUAAACCAUUAAAUACAGCUUUAAAAUGGAUUAGGUAUCCUAUUCCAAAUAAAAAAGAUCUAUUAAAGCAACUCUAUAAUGCAAAUAUUUUUAGUAAAUUUGAUAUGAAAUCUGGCUAUUGGCAGAUUCAAAUUGACCCUAACGACAGAUAUAAAACAGCAUUUACCGUUCCAUUUGGUCAAUACGAAUGGAAUGUAAUGCCUUUUGGAUUAAAAAAUGCUCCUUCUGAAUUUCAAAGGAUCAUGAAUGAUAUUUUUAACCCUUAUUCUAAAUUUUGUAUUGUUUAUAUUGAUGAUGUGCUUAUAUUUAGUACAACUCUAGAAGAUCAUUUUAAACAUUUAAAAACAUUUUGUAUGAUUAUCGAGAAAAAUGGUUUAGCAUUAAGUAAAGCUAAAAUGGAUUUGUUUAAAACUAAAAUAAGAUUUUUAGGACAUCAUAUAGAACAAGGUAAGAUUCAACCUAUAGAAAGAGCACUUGUUUUUGGUGAAAAAUUUCCUGAUGAAAUUUCUAAUAAACCCCAAUUACAACGUUUUCUUGGUUGUUUAAAUUAUGUAAUUGAUUUUUAUCCAAAUUUAAAUUGCAUGAUAAAACCUUUACAUAAUAGACUUUGUAAAAAUGCUGGUCCUUGGACAACUCAGCAUACUCAACUAGUAAAAAAGAUAAAAUCAUUAGUAAAAGAAAUCCCUUACUUAUAUAUUCCUGAUCCUAAUGCUUUUAAAAUUGUUGAAACUGAUGCUUCUAAUAUUGGUUAUGGCGGCAUUUUAAAACAAAAAAUUAAUAGUAAAGAAAGAAUAAACAAACUGAUGCUUCUAAUAUUGGUGGUGGUGACCUUGCAACUUUCUGGGCGGUUUCACUUUUCCGUCCACCGGGCGGCGGCGGCGGCGGCGGUUCGGGAUCGGCCGGCGAGACUCCGGCGAGACUUCAAAAGGCAGAAUGCUCUCCUCUUCGUGCGGAUCAUGGAAAUAAAAUCCGAUUUUCAAUCGGUACAUUGUAAGGCUUAAUUGUCCAUUUUUCGGUAUAAGGUUUACAACUUGAAUUAACUAAUUAAUUGGAUAUAAGAUUAAUUGAAUUAUUAAAAGUUGGGAGUUUUAUGAAAUUAAAUUGCAAUUUGUGAGUAAAUCCCAAAUUUAAUGACUUAAUGAAUUAAUCGAGUGUCAAGUGGAUUAAAUUGAAUAUUAUAAAAUGUAGUUCAUGAAUAUUAGUUAUAAUAUCGACUUUGAAAUAUGAAGUUUUGCUAAUAAUUAUAUACGUUAAUUUUUGGAAUUUAAUAAGUAUAAAUUGGAGAAAUUAUAAUGUAAGGUAUAGAUAAAUAAAAUUCAUGAUAUUAUGGAAAUUAAAAACUUAUUGGUGAUAGAAUUAUCAAGUGCCUAUGUAUGGUGAAUGACUAAUAAGUGAUGUUUAUGGUGGACGGGAUCGGUUAAUGUGAGUUGCCCGAUGGAUGGGCCGUGUGUUGACAUGUGAGAAAUAUAAAAUUGAGUAGUAUAGUUUAUAAGGGAAAUGCCGUCGAAAUUUCGGUAAAACACUUAAGAAAACUCUUAAAAGAUAGUACGAUUAAAAUUAUUAUCGUUAUUAAUAUUAUGUUGUCACCCGUAUUAUUAUUAUUAUUAGUAUUAUUAUGACUAUCAGUAUUUAUAAGAACAUUACUUAACGAAUGACCAAACGUUUUAUAUAAAACUAAUAACUUUGAAAUAAAUAUAUAAAUGAGGAAAACCCAACAUAUAUGCACAUAUAAUAAAUGAAUUAAAUGGCUGGUAACCAAAACUAAUAAAAGAAUGUGAAAUAUAAGUUUUCGAAUUAAAAUUUUUAUUUAGAAUUUUCUUGUUUAUUUUAAAGGUUUAUAAAAUACCAAAAUGCGAGGACAAAAGCUGGAAGCAUGUGGCUAAAAAGGCAGUCCUUUUAAAGGACAAUAAAGAACUGUGAGUAGUGUUAGAUAACUAGUAUCAUCCGCCUGCAUUCAUGCAUUCACGGCUAAAUGCUAUCAUGCAUUAAUUUGUUGAAUUGCCAUAUUGUGCUGCACUAAUUGUUGAUAUUAAAUAAAUUAUGUGAUUACUUGUGCUGUGUAUAUACUGUGCCUUGUUUGUGUGGAAUUGGGAUGAAGUGGGUCACCAUGGGUUUGUGAGACUGNNNNNNNNNNNNNNNNNNNNNNNNNNNNNNNNNNNNNNNNNNNNNNNNNNNNNNNNNNNNNNNNNNNNNNNNNNNNNNNNNNNNNNNNNNNNNNNNNNNNNNNNNNNNNNNNNNNNNNNNNNNNNNNNNNNNNNCUCUUUGGGCGCACCUGAUGAUCUAGAUUUGAUUGUAGCCCGCAGGGUGGCCUCCUGUUGUGAGCACUUGAUGAUCGAGAUUGGAUGGAGACCACCGAGUUGCCUCCUGUUGGUAUUUUUUUUUUAAACAAAAAAAAAAAAAAAAGAUAGUGAGACUGGAAAAAUAAUCAGAGGACCGACAGUGUGAGGAUUAUACCGGUCAGCCAGAAUGGGGGAUUGGCUCCCUGGUGCACAUGUGAGUGGAUGGGCCAUGUGGGAGGACGGCUCAUCGGGUUCCCGUGACUCCACUGACUAAUUUCCACGUGAUAUGAUUAUAUGAAGGUGAUAAUACUUGUGAUUGCUGUUGUAUUGCCAUUUGUGUGACAAACUGCAUGAUCAUAAACUUCAACAGUGACCAGAUAAAAAUAUUUUAGCAUCUGUGUGACUGUGUGGGGUGAGAGGGUUAUCUAACCCUACUCAUUGAGUUUGGCGCUCACCCCUGCCUACUUUUUUUUUCCAGGUAAUAGAAAGAAAGGAAAGCCCUAUGGAGUUGAAAUACUUAUUAUAGAAGACUUUUAAUGAUAGAAAUAACGAUGUGAAUGUAAAGGUAGAGUUCCGCAAUUGGAUUCCAGUUGGUUUGUAAAUAAAUAAUAAAAGUCCAUAUUACAUAUAUGAACUGUAUUUUGAAUGCAUAUGUAUAAUAAGUAAUGGGCCUGAAUCCAUAAUUAUGAAUAGAAUGUAAGAUUUAAAUAAGUUAGGCUUACUACGGGCUUUGGGGGCCUUAAGCCCACCCAAAUCCUAGUGCCGGUCCGGCCACGGAAAUGGUUCGUGACAUUACUGACUUAAGAGCCGCUCUUUUCUCUCCCUUCUCCAUCCAUGUCUUACAGAUUUCUAUAUCGGUGUAUUAUGGAUAAAUUUUUAUGAAUAUAUCACCUGUAAAUGCUAGCUAAAAUGCCAAGCAAGAGUUGAUCGAGACUUUUCUAUGUAUUUUAGGUUAAAAUCUAUUGCAUUUUGGCAGAAAUAACAAGUUAAUUAAGAAGAGGCUUCUAAGUUAAAAGAAAAGAAUUGCCUACUCCCUAGUGUAUAUCCACUCACAUUCUAAAUCAAUCAAAAAGAUGUUUUUGACUGUAAUGAGUUAUUUCUGUCUAUUCACUAAGAAAAAUAUAAAACAACAAUAAAUUAAAGAAAAACCUUUAUUUUUUUAGAAGAAAGAAAAUAUCUAUUAAUUGAUUUGUCGUACGAAAUUAUCUCAUAGUGUAAGUAUAGGCAAAUUUUAUCAUAUAAAUUAUAGGUCAAAACGAUGAGAUAUUUUAAGGAUACAACAUCUCCUUUUGAAAUUCACCACUUGGAAAAAAUGAGAUUCCCUCCCAAAUUUCAUUAAUAUGAAAAUCUUUUUGUCUCUAAUAUGAAAUUUUUUUAUUAUUUAAAUAUUUUUUAUCGAAACCAUUUUAAUGAUUCUUAACAAAAUACUAUAUAUUUGCUUACUUUUCACUAAUCAGUGAUUACAUUCUAUAUUUGCACCAAAACCACUAAAUCAAUUACUUGUCUUAGUGAAAUAGCCAUUUGGUUAUUUAAAUAUCUGUUGAUAUUGAAAUCAUUAUUUAUUCAUUUGAUUUUUCAACUUUUUAUAUUGCAGCGAAAACAUCGAUUGACAUUAUAGUUUUAGUGCAACAGACUCUCUAUUAUAACAUGUAGUAAAUAGUUUCCAUUUUGAAUCAAAUUGGUAAAUAGUUUUUGAAACAACAUUAUUUUUGUUAAUGUCUUUAUCAAUGGCAAGUAAAAGUUGAUUGAGAUAAUUUUUUUUUUUUUAAGUUAAAAUCUAUUGCAUUUCAAAAAAUAGCAUUUUGUUAUAAAUAAUAACAAAAAACGAUGAUAUAUAGCAAGGACAUGAAAUUUCCUUUUAACUCAUCAGAAUAAAAAAAACGAAAAUGAUUUUUCCUUCCCAAACUUUUUUUUUAUAUGUAUAUAUAAAGUCGGUUCAUCUUGUACUGUCAAUAUCAUUACAAAUCAUAAUCAAGUCCUUAUGGUUAUGACUCACUAGUGUAUCUUUACCCUUUUAGCAGCAUUUUUGCAUAGUAUUGAGCUCCAUGACUUUGCAGGUAUGAUAUAUUAUUUNNNNNNNNNNUUUUUUUUUUUUUUUUGCAAACUUAAUUAACUGAAUUUAACUACUUACAAACUAUCAUUUCUCUGUGCAGGAGCUCAAACUAUUGGUGUUAACUUAUGGCAGAGUUGCUGACAACCUUCCCCUUCCUCAUCAAGUAAUACUGUGUGCAAAUCCAAGAACAUUCAAAGAAUUGAAAAACGAAACCUAAAUUACCCACUUCCCAUUUCCCAAAAUGCCAUCAGAUUCUUCUUCCACGGCAACUAGAAGAUUAACCAAACCCCAUAACACAGGAGCUCCACCGGCAGACCAGGAACACCUUCCAUGCCCGCGCUGCGAUUCUACUAACACUAAGUUCUGCUAUUACAACAACUAUAUUUUUUCCCAGCCUCGUCAUUUCUGUAAGUCUUGUCGCCGUUCCUGGACCCACGGCGGCACCCUUCGUGACAUUCCGGUUGGUGGUGACACUCGGAAAAAUGCUAAAAGAUCACGCACCAGUUCUAGUGGUUUUACUGUAGUAGGUCCUAUGACGGCCACCACAGGUAACCAUAACCUUCCAUUACCGGCUACACCACUACUGGCCCCACUUAUGGCCAAUCAAGCAUCGUCUAUACAGUUUGGCUGCGGUGGCGGUGAUGGGAAGGGUAAUGUGAGUGGUUCUAGUGGUAAUUCUACAGUAUCGGGUAGCUUUACUUCUUUGUUGAAUACUCAGGGCCCUGGGUUUCUAGCAUUGAGUGGGUUUGGGCUUGGACUUGGAUCUGCGUUUGAAUAUAUGGGCUUUGGGCUUGCAAGAGGAGUCUGGCCUUUUCCCGGUGUAGGAGAUGGUGGUGCUGGUGGUGUUGGUGGCAAUGGCGGUUCUGCUGGAGGAAUGAGUAACACGUGGCAAUUUCCCUUUUAUAGUUUGCAGUAUAUAUUUCAAUUUGUAUUUAAUAUAUAAUAAUUGACUGAUUUGAUUUUUGAGGCCCACAUUUAAAUUUUAAUUCCUGGCAAAAUUUAUAAUGAUUUGCUAGUUCAACAUUAAUUGAGUGCAAUCAUUCUCAUAGCAUAAGCAUCACCCAAUUUCUACUCUCCUAUCCCAAUGCAUUACCUGCUCUACAGAUUUGCAGUUGGACCUCUAGAACCUCAGCCUAAUGAAUAAUCAAAUUGCAAAAAUUAUAUUUUCUUUUAUUUUGCAAUUAUUAAAGGGGCAUUUACAUUAAUUAUGAGAUAAAAAAUUAAUUAUGGUGUCGCUUGGACACACUCUACAUUUAUAAUUAAUUUUAACUUCAAUUUUCAUAAAUUUUCGAAUAGAAGAAGAGAUGACAAUGAUUUUUUCUCUGUUAACUAAAUAUGUUAACUAAAUAUUUUAAGUUCUAACAACAGAAUCUAAUUAGUCAGAAAAAAAAAAAUACUCUCUCUGUCUUAUAAAUAUAUAUUUACUUUAUCUUUUUUUUUAGACCACUUUUAUCACUACAAAAAAAACGGCAUUUUGUGACCGACCAAUCGGUCGCAAAAUGCCAAAAAAUCGGUCGCUAAAUCAAUUAGAGACCGAUUUGCGACGAAUACUGUCGGUCGCAAAUAAUCGGUCGCAAAUCAGUCGCAAAUCGGUCGCAGAAGUUAUUCCUAAUUUUGAAGCGCGCAAUUUUGCGACGGAAUAAAACGUAGUCGCAAACCGAUCGCAAAAUCGGUCGCAAAUCCGUAGUACAUUAGUCGCAAACUGAAAAACAAACUCCCGAGAAUUUUUAGCACUACAAUUAGCGACUGUUUGUCCAUAGAUCGCAAAUCGAUCGCAAAAUUGCGACUGAUUUGAAUCGAUCGCAAAUCGGCGAUUUUUUUUGUAGUGUAUCGUGGAAGAUACAAUUAUUUUCUUACUCUCGUAACCUACCUGAUACUUUGUUAGUAACAACGUUUGCAUUUUUUAUUGAAAGUGACAUAUUAUCUUAAUAUAGGGUAUGUUAGGAAAAAUGAAAGUAAAAUUUAAUAUUAUUCUAAUAAUAUUAAUUGCAUUGUUUAAUCUAUGUAAAAAUAAAAAUAAUCGUAUCUUUUUAGGCAAAGAGAGUAAUAUAAUAAAAAAAUUAAAAUUAAGCUUGACAUGUAUACUAGAAUGGAUUAAAUUAAAUAAGAUACUGUUAUUUUUCUUUAACAUUAAAUAAAAAGUUAAGGCCAAAUCAAACUAAAUUAUAUAUGAUAUAUAUUAUAUAUAAAAUACGAGGAUAAUGAGUUCCUAAAAUGCGUCGCUAAAUUUUCAAAUUGACAAAAAUAUUAUGGAUCGAGAACUUUAAUUUUGUUGGUUGAAAAAUAAAUAUAGUUUAAUUUUAAUUGUUUACGUCAAUUUGCUAUUUGAAUCUAAAUUUUAUUAAGAAGUUUAAUCUAAUUUUAAAUAGAAAAUUUUCUAAUUUAGUUUCAUGCAAAUUUGGAUAAAAAUAAAAUAAAAUAUUAUUAUUUAGAAAUUUUAAUUUAAUUGCUUAACUAAUUUCCUAUUAUAUAAUGAUUUGCUAUAUGUAAGGGAGAAAAAAAAAACGAUUACGUUAUAUUAAUCCUAUUAUACUACUUUCUACAUUGAAGGAAAAAAAAAACAACUGACUAAUUUCUUUCUGUUAUAUUCAUACCUUCUAUUCGUGGGUAAUAUAUAUAUAUAUAUAUAAAUAUUAAUAUAAAUAUAGAAAUUAUUAAUAUAAAUUAUUAUUAAUUAUUAAUAUAAAAUUAUAUAUAUAAAUAUAGAUAUUAUUAAUAUAUAUAGAUUUUGUUUUAAAAAUGAGUUUGAAAAUUAGCUUAUUCGACUCAAUUAGGAAUAUUAACUCGAUUAGGAGUAAGAAAUUAGCUUAUUCCACAAAUUAUAUGAAAUCAAUUAUUUACAUAAGCUAGUGUGAAAAAAUUUAUAGUGUUAUCAAAAUCCUUAAUUGUAGCGGUAUAUAUGAUAAAUCCCUCUUAACUUUUAGGGUGUCACAGUUGUUUUUUUUUUNNNNNNNNNNNNNNNNNNAUUAAUUUAGAUAUUUGGCUACAUAAUUAAUUAUUUCUUCUAUAUGUUUAGAUUUUGAUUUGAUAGAAAUAGAAUAAUAAUAAGGAGAUGACUGCAAUAAAUUGAAUUUUUUUUAUAAAAAGAAACCGAGCAAAGCUGAAAUUUGUUUAGAACCAAAUCAAACUAAUUUAAUUAAGCUUAGUUUGAUUUACCUUUUUGAUUUUUCCUUAUUUUUUAAGAUUUUAAAACUUAAAUAGUUAAAAAAAAAAAGAAUUUUCGAUUUUUCUGUAUACACUAAAAUUGAACUGAUAAAUUUUGAAAUCAAAUCCAUUCGAUUCGGUGAAUUCAGUCUAUUUUUUCAGAUAGUUCUCAGCCUAAUCCAAAUGAUGAAAUAUGGUAUGAAUAUAAAAAUUUCCAUUUAAAAUUCACAAGGAAAAUUUCUUUUCCUAAGAUAGCAUAUAUCUAUUUACGUUAAUUUUUUUUUUAAUCUAUAAAAUCAGUCCAUCUUAUAUUGUCAAAAUCAUUGCAAAUCAUAGAUUCAUAACUAAGUGCUCGUUAAGAUUAUCUAUGGCUCGUCCUAUCUUUAGCAUUUUAGCAGCUUUUUUGCUUAUUAUCGAGUUCCAUGACUUUGUUGGUAUGUUAUAUUAUUAUUUUUCUGAAAAAUAUUAUCAUAUUUGAUUAUUAUUAUACUUUGUACAAGUUUUUAGGAUUUGUUGGGCAAAAUUAACUGUUUUAGUUGUAUUUGAUUGUUAGUUAUUAACUGUUUGAGUAGUCCUAAAACAUUACAAGUUAAAUGUUAGAUUGGUUAAUUUUUUAUAAAACGCUACCUUAACUUCUAAAUUGAAUUGGUUAGACAGUUUAAACAAAAGUUUUUCUUCCCUUACUUCUUAUUUAAGUUACACAGUUUUUUCCAAAUGCUAAUUUUCUUGCCUGGUAAACCACCAUUGGUGCGAUGCAGGAGCAGAAAUUGGUGUGACCUUCUCAAGACUAGCAGACAACUUUCCACCAGCACAAGUAGCUGUAAAAUUUGCUAAAUCGAAGGGCUUCAAAAGAAUUCGUCUUUACAAGCCCCAUCACGAUGCGUUACAAGCACUGAAAGGUCAGGGCAUACAAGUGAUCUUAGGAGUUGGCGACGACGAAGUUGAAGCAGUAAGUAAAUCCGCUGCACCGAAAUGGGUCAAAGACAAUGUUGUGCCAUAUGCAAAUCAAAUAACCAUUAUAGCCAUAGCUAUUGGACAUGAUCUAAUCCCUAAUAGUAAAUUAGCAGUUUACGUUCUUCCUGCACUGCAAGCAAUGAAAGAAGCACUGGUAGAUCAUGGGCUUCCUUUUAUUUCUGUAACAACGCCAUUUACAUUAGAUACACUUCUUACACAUUUUCCUCCAUCCCAUUCAACUUUUGAUCCAGAAAAGAUUUAUCUUAUUAAACCCAUUAUCAAUUUCUUGGCAACUCAAAGUCCUCUUCUUUUAUGCGAUAUUUACCCUUAUGAAACUUAUCUAAGGGACUCUCACCUUGUCAGUUUAAAUUAUGCUUUGCUUAAUAAUACAAAUGUUGAGGUUGUAGAUGUUCCAUUCGGAUAUACCAAUAUGCUUGAUGGUUUAGUAGAUGCUUUUUACAGUGCAAUUGAAAAACUUGAAAACCUUGAAGCAGGAACUGUUAAGAUUGUUGUGAGUGAAACUGGGUGGCCGUUUUCCGAAGAAAUAUAUGCUUCUGCUCAAUAUGCAAGAACGUAUGCUUCAAAUGUGUUCAAACGGGGACAAGCAAAUACAGGAACACCGAAGAAACCUUCUUGGGCAUUGGAUGUUUUUGAAUAUAACUUGUUUUUUCAAGAUAAUGCUCCUCUAGAUAAGAAACCAUAUGCUUUAUUUUACCCUAAUAUGUCUGCCAUAUAUUUUAAUUAGGGUUUGUAUUGGAUAUUGUAAAAUCUUAUCACUUUUUUAUUUUAUAACUUAUUGUGUGUAAGAAUAAAUGUGAAAUAAUUUAUAUAUUUUAAGAUUUGCUGUCUGAAGUUUUCAUAUUUUCCAAAUUCAGUUCGAAAAGAAUUCCUUACAAAUUAUAUUUUGCCCACUCAAAAUGUAAAAAAUUAAUAUUUCACAGCAUUUGUUUCAGCCCUUGAACUUUAUUUUCUAAUUUCACCCUGCACUUAAUAAUGCAUGCAUUUCUUUCUUUUUCUUUUCUCUCUCUCUUUUUUUUUUUUUUUUCCGUUAUUUGUGUAUACCUAUCAAUGCUGGCUAUAAUGCCAAGUAAGAGUUCAUUGAGAUAAUAAAUAUUUUCUAGGUAGAUUAGGUUAAAAUCUAUUGCAUUUUGGCAGAAAUAACAAGUUAAUUAAGAAGAGGCUUAUAAAUUAAGAAAAGAAUUGCCUACUCCUCGCGUAUAUCCAGUUAUUCGUUCAUAUGCCAAAUCAAUUAAACAAAUGUUUUUGGCUGUAAUGGGAUAUUUUUGAUCAUUCAUUGAAAAAAAAAAUGAUAGAACAAUAAUAAAUUAAAAAAACUUCUAUUGAUUGAUUUGUGUAUGAUAAAUAUUUAUUAGAGACUUAACUGUAAUUUAUAUAUAAGACCUAAUUAUAUUUUAUGAACUAAAUAUUAUAUUGUGCAUAGAAUUUGAUUACGAUUAUUUCUAAUCAUUCGUCAACACUCAAUUCAUGAUCAAUCACUCCAAAAUAAUUAUUCAAUUGGUAUUUCAAACACUUGUUUAAUAAGGAUUCCAACUACAACUUUAAUCAAUAUCUUUCUACCAAACUCUCUACUCAGUUAGGCAAUAUCUACGCAAUAGGCAACAUAAUAUCUAUUUAAUUGGGAUUAUUUAUUAUUCUUUUACUGAGUUAAGAAUCAAAGUGGUUACUGAUCUAAGAGCCCCUCUUUUCUCUCCCUUCUCCAUCCAUGUCUUACAGAUUUCUAUAUCGGUAUAUUAUGGAUAAAUUUUUCUGAAUAUAUCACCUGUAAAUGCUGGCUAAAAUGCCAAGCAAGAGUUGAUUGAGACUUUUCUAUGUAUUUUAGGUUAAAAUCUAUUGCAUUUUGGCAAAAAUAACAAGUUAAUUAAGAAGAAGCUUAUAAGUUAAAGGAAAAGAAUUGCCUACUCCCUAGUGUAUAUUCGCUCACAUUCUAAAUCAAUCAAAAAGAUGUUUUUGAUUGCAAUGAGGUAUUUCUGACCAUUCACUGAGAAAAAUAUAAAACAAGAAUAAAUUAAAGAAAAACCUUUAUUUUUUUUUAGAAGAAAGAAAAUCUCUAUUAAUUGAUUUGUCGUACGAAAUUAUCUCAUAGUGUAAGUAUAGGCAAAUUUUAUCAUAUAAAUUAUAGGUCAAAACGAUGAGAUAUUAUAAGGAUACAACAUCUCCUUUUGAAAUUCACCACUUGGAAAAAAUGAGAUUCCCUCCCAAAUUUCAUUAAUAUGAAAAUCUUUUUGUCUCUAAUAUGAAAUUUUUUUAUUAUUUAAAUAUUUUUUAUUGAAACCAUUUUAAUGAUUCUUAACAAAAUACUAUAUAUUUGCUUACUUUUCACCCAUCAAUGAUUACAUUCUAUAUUUGCACCAAGACCAACAAAUCAUUUGUUCGUCUUAGUGAAAUAGCCAUUUGAUUAUUUAAAUAUUUUUUGAUAUUAAAGUCAUUGUUUAUUCAUUUGAUUUUUCAACUUUUUGCAUUGCAGUGAAAUUACUGAUUGACGAAGUAGUUUUAGUGCAACAUUCUCUGUAUUACAGCACACAGUAAAUAGUUUCCAUUUUGCAUCAAAUUGGAAAAUAGUUUUUGAAACAACAUUAUUUUUGUUAAUGUCUUUAUUAAUGGGAAGUAAAAGUUGAUUUUUAGGUUAGAGUCUAUUGCAUUUCAAAAAAUAGCAUUUUGUUAUAAAUAAUAACAAAAAACGAUGAUAUAUGGGAAGGACAUAAAAUUUCCUUUAAACUCAUCAGAAUAAAAAAAAGAAAAUGAUUUUUCCUUCCCAAACUUUUUUUUUAUAUGUAUAGUAUUGUCAGUCCAUCUUGUAUUGUCAAUAUCAUUACAAAUCAUAAUCAAGUUCUUAUGGUUAUGGUUCACUCUAUCUUUAGCCUUUUAGCAGCAUUUUUGCUUAGUAUUGAGCUCCAUGACUUUGCAGGUAUGAUAUAUUAUUUAUUUAUUUAUUUUUUGCAAACUUAAUUAACUGAAUUUAACUACUUAUAAACUAUCAUUUCUCUGUGCAGGAGCUCAAACUAGUGGUGUUAACUUAUGGCAGAGUUGCUGACAACCUUCCCUUUCCUCAUCAAGUAAUACUGUGUUACAACAACUAAGUUCUGCUAUUACAACAGCUAUAAUUUUUCCCAGCCUCGUCAUUUCUGUAAGUCUUGUCGCCGUUACUGGACCCACGGCGGCACCCUUCGUGACAUUCCGGUUGGUGGUGGCACUCGGAAAAAUGCUAAAAGAUCACGCACCACUUCUAGUGGUUGUACUGUAGUAGGUCCUAUGACGGCCAACACAGGUGACCAUAACCUUCCAUUACCGGCUACACCAGUACUGGUCCCACUUAUGACCAAUCAAGCAACGUCUAUACAGUUUGGCUGCGGUGGCGGUGAUGGGAAGGGUAAUGUGUGUGGUUCUAGUGGUAAUUCUACAGUAUCUGGUAGCUUUACUUCUCUGUUGAAUACUCAGGGUCCUGGAUUUCUAGCAUUGAGUGGGUUUGGGGUUGGACUUGGAUCUGGGUUUGAAGAUAUGGGCUUUGGGCUUGCAAGAGGAGUCUGGCCUUUUCCCGGUGUAGGAGAAGGUGGUGCCGGUGGUGUUGGUAGCAAUGGCG